Molecule: long non-coding RNA, 62677 nt
Filed under: Citrus maxima (pomelo)
Lineage: Eukaryota; Viridiplantae; Streptophyta; Magnoliopsida; Sapindales; Rutaceae
Description: long non-coding RNA (CMAX_LNC000106)
Source: RNAcentral
GAUGCAGAGCAAUGACAGAGGUGGUAAUAAAUGACAAAGAUGGAGUUGAAAAAGAAGAGAUUGUUUUCCGCAAAUUGAAGGCGUUGGAACUGUGUGAUUUAGAUAGCCUCACAAGUUUCUGCUCUGCCAAUUACACCUUCAAAUUCCCAUCUUUGCAAGAUUUGUGGGUGAUUGGUUGUCCCAAGAUGAAGAUUUUCACUACAGGAGAAUCAAUCACGCCUCUAAGAGUAAACGUCUGCUAUGGAGAGACAGCGGAUCAACGGCGCUGGGAUAAUAAUGAUCUAAACACAACCAUACAACAAUUACAUGCUGAGAAGGUACGGAUAUACAUAUUACUCUCUAUCUCCCAUGAUAAAUUUUUACAAAAUUUGCUUUUUUUAAAUAAAAUAUCGAUAAGAUAUUUGUUUUAAAAUUAGUUUAAAUUGAUGGAUAAGAAUUUUAUUCUCAGCUGUUGGACGGGUCGUCGAUAUACUCUACGCAAUACCACUAAUUUCAUUGGCUUCUUAUGUCUUGGAGUUGCGAAUUUGAAGAAGAAAGUCCCAGCUGGUAAUUAAUUCUUAUUUUAUUUAUUUGAUCUCGUGGGUUGUUUCACAAUUUCAUCUCAAUUAUUUAGAAUGGGUCGCUUGGUUUUCAUGUUUCGUUCAGGCUUUUGUGGGCAGAUUUUGCGUCAUUGAUUGUCUUUUGGUCUAAUUUAAUUUAAUUUGAGUAUUUUGUUUGAGAAUUCGCUUGUUCUCUAAAAUUUUAUAAUUCCUUGCAAGCAUUUUAUGAUGAAAUUUCAUUAAAAGGGGCAACACUUGCAUGUUGAAUGUCUUCAGAUAUUAUAAUUCCUUGAAAUCAUGCGAACUUUUUUCUUUCUUUCUUUGCCAAUCAUUUAUUGUCAUCAUUGCCUUUCCGUUAUAUUUGUUUCUGCUCUGUUUGUUCUUUGGAAACUUGGAAGGCAACGAAAGUACUUAAGAAAAUGCUCUUGCCUAUGAACACAUAAUUAAGAAGCUGAAUAUCAUUCAGCGGGUAAAAUAUAUAUAUAUAUAUAUAAUUAGCCCAUUAUGCCUACAACAAAUCCUUACACCAUCAAAGGUUAGCUAUGAACAACUAUAUUGUGGAAAUAUUGUUUGAAAGCAUUGGAUAGAAUUUUCAAAAAUAUCAAGUUUUCACAAACCAAAAAGGGAACUAAUUUGGUCUAGUUUUGUGAAAGUAUAGAAGCACAAAUUUUGUCUGUUAUUCUUGUUAAAAUUCUCAGCACUAUGUUUGCAGAAUGUCUGGAUACUGAUGGAGAUUCAAGUCACUCUUCUUCUGUGCAACAUUUGAAAUGAAGCCUUUUUUUCCCCCUUUAUUCAAAUUUUAUGUUGUGAGGGGUUCCGUUUCCAUCUUCAUGUGAUUUACUUCAUCGUGUCGCUACAUAUAUGAUAGUGUGUGUUAUUUCCUGUCUGUUUCCUUUAUUUGACCAUCGGAAGUUCAAAGACAUUUUAUUCUAAAUGUGUGUAAAUUCAUUUUCUGUAUAAGCUCUUUGUAUGCAUUUUGACAUUUUAUUCUCAAUAUAUGUGACUCAAUGAGAGGUCUAUUGUUAUAUAUACGUCACGAAAUUCUUGUGUAUUUUUAGAUUUGAUGAUGUAUUAUUGCCUCAUUGCAAGGUCUUAUAAUCACUCUGAUUCUUAUUUCUUGUAUAUAUAUGUAUAUAUGCGCAAGAAAUUUGAUAAAUGAUCUCGUCAUUUUCUCAGUUAAACAUCUAGUACUUUAUAUGUUGGAAGGGUACUAAGCAGCAGGCCAAGAUUUAUCAACUCAAAGAUCGUCAUGUCACUUUUUGAAAGUUGACUAAAAAAUAUUCCUAAAAGUAGCAAAAGUUGGUGGAUUAUUGUGGUUUUCCUACUUUAUCGUUUUUGGUUGAAUAAAUUAAUAUAAAGCUGUCGAUUCUGCAUUAAAGCUUAUGAAUUGUGAAGAUAUAUGAAUACCAAAUCUUUCCAACUCCAACUCUUGAGUAAUUAUUAGGUUCCCACCCAUGCAAACAUAUUUUCUUUCGAGAAAAAGGGAUGCCUGAGUCAGGGCAUCCGUUGCCUCGGUUUAUUUGAUUUUGUUUGGUUCAAUUGUGGUUCUGUUAUUUAGUUUUUCCUCUGAUGGUUCUGUUUCUCUGUAUAUUUCACUGGGUUUGCUUUGCUUCACAUCUUUCUUUCAAAACUAAGUAUAUAUCAAAUCAUGCAUAUGCUCAUGCUCUUGCCUAUGAACACAUAAAGAACAACUGAAUAUCCUUCGUCGGAUAACAAAAAAAAAAAAUCUAAUCAUCCAUUACUUAAUUAGAAAAAAAAUUUGUUCGCUCUGCUUGCUUUAGUAAUUUGUCUUUUAUAUUUGACUGGCUCGACAAAGAGUUGUUGACCUCGUUUUGAUACACUUACAUUGCAGAGAUUGAAACCAGAUCUGUCAUACAUUAGUUGGCCAUAAAAAUAAUCAAAUCACUUUCUCUUUUUCACCUAUUUUCACGGAGAAAAAUGCUAAAGAAACUGGGAGAAUGCUAAAUUCAAAGGUGGAAAGUGUACAGAGAGAGGAAGCGCGUGUUUAGAGAGAGAGGUCUCAAAUAUAUAAGUUGGAUUUCUCAUAAAAGGUAGUAAGGUUUCUAUAAUUCUAUUUCUAUUUAUGCUGAAUUUCAUGGAAACGAAGUUAAUUUAGAGAUUUGUAUACUUUAUUUAUAGUUAAGUUUUCCAAAAAAAGGCGUAAAGUUGCUCCUAAGUUCAUUUUUAUAAUUGGUCGAUUAUUUUAGAAGUCACAAGGGUGCCAACAAGGAAUUGUAGAGUCGGAUACGUGUAGCCUUCAUUGUUUUCCUGAUUCGGUAUGUAUAUAGUUAUAUGUAUGUUUAGGUAGAUUAUGGUUGGUGAUGAUAUUGUUAAUAAUAUGGAUGAUUUGUUAGAUAUGAAAAUUAAGUUAUUAAGGGUGAAACAUGAAACCGAAUCCGUCACUGCAUUUGCUUGAAAAACAAUUUUACGAAUAAUAGGUCCUCGACAACUUUCAAUGUGGUUUAGUUACAUGUAUUCAAAACAUAAAUUAUUGUUAUGAUUUUAGAAAAUUUUGUUGUUUGUAAUUUAUAUUUGAAAUUUUGCAACAAUUGUUUGGCACAAAUAUUUUUAUUUAAGAAAAAGAGUGAUCUCAUUAUUGAGCUGGUUUUGAUAACACAUAUGGAAAUAAUAAAUUGAUUCAUAAUUAAGUCAAUUACCUAAUUAAAAUGUACCUCAAUAUUUUUUUCCUCAAUAUUUUUUUGGUAAUGUUGUAUCUGUUAUAGUAAUUUUUGGUAGUUAUGUUUGGAAAUAAUCACUAUGAAGAGAAUGAGUUAAACAUUUAGGAAAAUUUAUUUUUAGAAGUCCUAUUGAUAAUGUAAAUGCUAAAUUGAAUAUAAUGUUAAAUAAAAUUUAUUUAUACAUUUAUAAACAUUUAAAUAAAAUAUUUUUAUCUUGUAAGUAUAAUAAUUGAUUACUAAAAUAAAUAUUUUAUAUUAUUAAUUUUAUUUUUAGUUUGUUAUCUCAAUGUAAUUGUUGAUAAUAUCUUUAAAGUUAAUAAUUUUAUUUUCUAAUUAAUAAGGAUAAUUAAUAUAUGUAGGGAUGUAUAUGGAAUUAUAUUGAGUAUAAAACUGAUUAUCAAAAUCAGAUUUUGAAAAACUAUUUGCUUUCAAAAUUUAUUGUAGGAUUGAUGAUUUUACCAAAGGUGACUUCUAAAAUUUUUAUUAAAUACCAAAAUUAGCAUUUAACUUUUCAAAAUUAAUUUUGAGCCUCUAAAAAUAAUCCCAAACGGAACUUUAAUAUAUGUUUGAUUUUUUUUAAUUUUAUAUUAUAUGAGACAAAAAUAUAAUUUUUAUCGUUGAAAAACAAAUGACAGAUUUUUUUGAAUAAUUUAAAAAAAAAAGAAACACAGAGCUCAAGAUAAUGCUGUAAUUGUUGCAUAAGAAGGCUGCAACUUGAUGAUAAAUUUAUUAUACUAGUUUUAAGGUUUUAUUUUGUGUGUAAAAGUUGCUGGUUCUUGUUUUAGAAAUUUCUCUUUCUAUUUGCCUGACUCGACAAAGAGUCGGUGUACCUCGUACUGAUACACUUAAAUUACAAACAUGGAAACCAGAUCUGGCAUCAUAAAUUAAUCAAUCACCUUCUCAUUAAUCUACCAUUACUCUUUUCGUUCCCUUAUUUUUAUCUAACCAUUUAGGAUAGGAUUUGAAUUCAGUACUUAAUUAUUCUUUUUAAUAAUUUUAAAAAAUUAUAAUUAAUAGUUAUUGGAUAAAAAUAUAAAAUUAAUUAUAUUAUUUGUCAUACGCGUGUGACAAAAGGUUAAGAAAAAUUUAUUUACGUUUGCUCAAUCCACUCUCUUAUUAGCUCCCCCACUCUCUUAAUCAUUUCUUCUCAUUCGAAAAACACUUUGCUUCUGUUUGUUUGUUAUUUAUUUUUAGCUCCAUAACUGCUCGUCGUAACGCUGUCUCUCUGUUUUGACUGUCCUUUAGCCUUCUUCACUUCUACAUUGUUGUCAGGAUUCAAGAUGCUGGAAAUCAUUGUUACUCUCGUUUUGGAACCUUGUAAAAUGCUUGGCUCCUCCAACUGAACGCCAACUUGUUUAUUUGCGAUGGCGGAACUACAAUGCCAACCUUGAGAAUCUCAAGGCGGAAAUGGAGAAGUUGAAGGUUGAACGUACGAGCAUUCAGCGCAGAGUUUCAGAGGCGAAAGAAAAAGGGGAAGAGAUUGAAGAGAAGGUUGAGAAGUGGCUGGUUAGUGCUAACGGCAUCAUUGACCAGGCAGCCAAAUUCGUUGAAGAUGAAGAGUCAACAAAUAAGCGCUGUCUCAAGGGCUUGUGUCCUAAUUUGAAGACCCGCUAUCAGCUUAGCAAGAAAGCAGAGACGGAGGUGAAGGCCAUUAUUGAGCUUGGAAAACAAAAUUAGAGAAAUUUCCACGUUCAAAGACAUUUUAAUAUGUUAUAACUAAACUAAUCAGAAAAACGAGUUUAAAGAAAAAAAAAAAAGGAGAGGGAGGGGACGGCAUCGUUUAAUUAAAAAGAGCUAAAAUUUUACUCUGUCCAUGUUGCAAAGCAAGAAAGCCGAAAAGCACAAAACAACAAUAAGCCAACGUUUGGGGAACUCCUCCCACCAGGGAACCAAGCUCUCCGAAUCCACGCCCAAAUCCUCACUCCCCAACGCGACGUCUUUCAACGCCUCCUCAAACUUCACAGAUUUCUCCGACACAUUGUACGACUCGGACUUCACAUCCCGAACGGAUACUCGGAACGAGCAACCCCUGUCUCCGGACAGAACCCCAAGUCGAACAAAGGUUACGAGGCCUUCGAAUCAAGAGUUUCUACUUUGAAGUCUAUACAAAAUGCGUUGACUGAUGUGAAUGUCAGCAUUAUUGGGGUGUACGGCAUGGGCGGCAUUGGAAAGACGACACUGGUGAAGGAGUUUGCUAGGCAAGCCAGGGAAGACAAGCUGUUUGAUCGGGUGGUUUUUUCAGAGGUUUCACAAACUCCAGACAUAAAAAAGAUUCAAGGGGAAAUUGCAGAGAAGUUAGGUCUGGAGUUGUCCGAUGAAGCUGAAUAUAGAAGAGCUAGCAGGCUGUAUGAACGACUGAAGAAUGAGAAUAAGAUUCUUGUGAUUCUAGAUAAUAUCUGGAAACAUGUUGAUUUGGAGACGGUUGGAAUUCCCUUCGGAAAUGAUCAUAAAGGAUGUAGACUACUGCUGACAGCAAGAGACAAUAAUGUACUAUUAAGUAUGGGCUCCAAAGAUAACUUCUUGAUUGGCAAUCUAAAUGAAGAAGAAGCUUGGGGAUUGUUUAAGAUAAUGAAUAGUGAUGAUGUUGAAAAUUGUAAGUUCAAGUCUACAGCAAUUAAUGUAGCCCAGGCAUGUGGAGGGCACUGAGAAACAAGAGUCUGCAUGAGUGGAAGAAUGCCUUGCGAGAACUCCAAACACCUUCAGUGGUAAACUUCGAAGGUGUGCCUGCAGAGACUUAUUCAAGUAUUGAACUGAGUUUCAAGUAUUUAAAAGGUGAGCAACUCAAGAAAAUUUUUCUGCUCUGUAGUCUAAUAGGUAACAGUUUUUGGAUUACAGACUUGUUUAAAUACUCCAUGGGUUUGGGCAUAUUUCAAGGAGUCAACAGGAUGGUAGAUGCACGAAACAAAUUAUAUGCAUUGGUCCAUGAACUUAGUGUUGGGGAAAAAUUAGGUUUUUAAAUUUUUAUAAAACCUUUUGAAGAUCGCUCUCAUAUAAUAUAUAAGAAUUUGUAUUCUAGAAAUCGUACCUUGAAAAUCUGAAUUGGCUUUUUCCGCUGAAGUGAUUUAGGCUCCUAGAUCACGAUCCGCCACCACCACUCCUGAUAGAUCACGAUCUGUCACCACCACGCUUGUUAGAUCACGAACUGUCUCCAAUGAUCUUCCAGGUUAUGACUCAUGUUCGAUCUGCACUUGACGUGUGGGCGCCUUUAUCACUACCAAAGCAACUAGCAUGAGAAAAUUUUUCUCUCAACAAUAGAGAGAAAAAUCUUAUUCUCCGAUCUGUAUAAAGUGGCUCCUUUCUUUUUUCUUUAGGGAAAAAUAAGCCUUUUAUAUCACCCUUUAGUGAAAACCCUAGGCUCCUAAUGAUCAAAAAACAAAACCCACGUUUAUUUGCUUUUUCAAUAGGGGACCCACCUUGUAAAAUAACAUAAGGCCCCUUAUACAAAAGCUAAUUAAAUGGAGCCUCCCACUAAAUGAUAUAUUUAGGCUUUUGACCCAAAUAGCUAGUUAUCUUACUUAUUAGUCCAGUAGUGGUGCAAUCAAUUAAAUGAGCUAACCCGGGGAUCAUUUGGGAACAUACAAUAGUGGCUACAAUAAUUAGGCCUAUAAUUAAACUAGCCCAAUUAUUUAAUUCCAAAUCUACUCCACUAAAAGAUUGGAACCGACUUCCAUAAUUGUACGCUCGAAUAAUAAUUCGUCCCAAGCCACAUUGAUUUCUUUACUGCACAAUCCUUUGUACCACAUCGUUAAUUAAAUUGAUAUCUCAACUGUCCAAUCAAUUUAAUAACAUCUUAUUCCUUGAUCCUUACUGGUUUUCUCUAAUGAUCAUUUUCAACAUACUAAAUAUGUUGACACACUCUGGCCAGAGAAUUCUAUGAUCAAGUGCCGAAAACCCAUCAAGAGAUGUGUUGUACAAAUUCUAUAUUGUUAAUCCAUAACUUCAAUACUCAUAAUUGCUCCCACCAAGAUAACGGGUAAUCUUGACCACAAGGAUGUGUCGUGCCCAUUGGUAACUCAAAUGGAAUAACAAUUACAAUCAUGAAAUCAUAAUUAACUCAAGAUUAAGAUUACAGUAAAAUCAACGCCUAUGAGAUUUAAUAAGUCUGACAGUUAUUUCAAAGUUAAUUAAAUCUCAUAUGUGAUCCUGUUCAAUGUAGUCGCACUACAUCAAUAAAUUCAUACAUGAUUAAGACAAAUCAUUCAAUGAAUUUAUUACAGUCUAGCAUGACAAGUCGGUUGAAGAUUUGUCAUCAGCAUGACAAGUCGGUUGACAGUCCAGAGAGAGCUAUAUGACAAGAUUAUCGUGUCGUCUAUAUACGCAAAGAAAGCAUGUGGUGUUCACGUGUUUCACUUAAACUAAACGGCUGCUUGAACUGUCGUUUUGUUACUUGGAAUAACCAAGAUGAAGACACGUGUAAUGAAGGCUUAUUCAGAAGUCUGUUAAGCCGUUAAUCAGCGUGGGAAGUUACUGUUCUUCUCCACGGGAAACAGGGGAAGCUUGCUGGUGAUUUGAGAGUCCUUCUUUGAUCAAGCAUCGCCUAUAUAUAUAGCUGGGUAUUCUGGGGUUAACACUUUAAGUUCAUGUAUGCUUAGCUUCUCUAAAUAAAGCUUGCACUCUGUAAGACACUCGUUCAAUAAAGCUUGGAUUCACCCUUUCACAGUGGACGUAGGCUUCCAUAGCCGAACCACUAUAGCUUUCUUGUGUUGUCUUUUCUGCUCUUGAAUUCUUCGAUUAAACUAGCUUUGAUUCUUGGCUUGUUAAAGUGUUCUUUAAGCCGAGUUCUGUUCACAUUAGCUUUAGUUACAAGAACCCUUCUUGAGUGGAUCUUGGGGAGCCAUUUUUCGGUUCUUUACUGAUAUUUGGCACAACAAAUUGGUAUCAGAGCCUCCCUCUGAAGUUCUUGAUCUAAAGAUGACUGGCCCUAAACUUGAAGUAGAAAAGUUUACUGGGGAAAAUGACUUUCACCUAUGGAGACUCAAGAUGAAAGCACUGUUGGUACAUCAAGGCCUGGAUGAAGCCCUUGCCGAAGUCACAUCACCCAAGAAACCAAGGAAGAUAUCAGAUGAUGACCUCCUAGAUGUGCUUGAUAGGGCUCACAGUGCAAUUAUCUUAAGUCUUGGAGAUGGUGUACUCAGAGAAGUGGGAGGAGAGACAACAGCUGCUGGAUUGUGGAAGAAGCUUGAGGACUUGUACACCAAAAAGUCCAUGGCCAAAAGGUUAGCCACCAAAAAGAAGCUUUACACAUUGCAGAUGGAAGAGGGUUCAUCAAUCUUUGAUCACAUUGAUGCCUUUAACAAGAUCAUCUUGGAUCUUGAAGACAUUAAUGUAAAGAUCGAUGAUGAAGAUAAAGCCAUGAUUCUGUUGUGCUCUCUACCAAGCUCUUAUGAGCAUCUGGUCGACACUCUCAUGUAUGGAAGACAGUCCCUCUCGAUGGUGGAUGUAAAAGAGACAUUGAACUCCAAGGCUGCAAGCAAGAAAGAAGCAAGUCAUGGGGAAGGAUUAACAGUUAGAGGGAGAUCAGAAAAGAAAGAAGGUGUUAAAGGGAAGAAGAAAAGAUCCAAGUCAAGACCAAAGAACAUGAAGUGCUUUCACUGCCACAAGGAAGGCCACUUCAAAAAGGACUGUCCAGAGAGGAAAUAUAAAAACAAUGAAGCAAAAGAGAAGACUGGAGAUGCUGCUGUUGCAUCAGAAGGACAAGAAUCUGAUGGUUAUGACUCUGCUGGGGUUCUCAUAGUCUCUGAUGGUGCAUCUAAAGGUAACUGGGUUUUAGAUUCUGGCUGUUCAUUCCAUAUGUGCCCUAAUAAAGCCUUCUUUAAAAACUAUGAAACCUAUGAUGGAGGGAUAGUUGUAAUGGGGAAUGAUGCUAGUUGUAGAGUAAUUGGCAGGGGCACCAUUAAACUGAAAAUGCUUGAUGGCACAAUAAAAGAAUUAGCAAAUGUCAGACAUGUUCCUGAUUUAAAGAGAAAUUUGAUUUCCCUUGGCAUGCUUGACAAAAUGGGGUGUGUUAUCAAGCUUGAGUCAGGCACUCUAAAGGUGUUGAAAGGGUCUAUGGUGUUGAUGAAAGGAAACUUAGACAAUGGCCUGUAUGUACUCUAGGGGUCUGUAGUCACAGGAGAUGUUGGAGUUUCAAACCAGAAUCUAAACAAAACCUUAUUGUGGCACUUUAGAUUAGGCCAUAUGAGUGAGAGAGGCUUGAGAGAACUAUCAAAACAGAGAGUCUUGGGUGAAGAUAAAAUAGAGCCCUUGGAAUUUUGUGAGGAGUGUGUCCUAGGCAAAUCAUCAAGAGUCAAAUUCAGCACAGGUGCACAUGUUUCAAUAGGAACUCUAGAAUACAUACAUGCUGAUCUGUGGGGACUUGCACAGACAGCAUCUUUAGGAGGGGCAAGGUAUUUUCUAUCUCUAAUUGAUGACCAUUCCAGAAUGGUUUGGGUGUAUGUGCUGAAGAACAAAGAUGAAGUGUUUGAACAUUUCAAGAACUGGAAAACACUGAUUGAAACUCAGACCAAUAGGAAGGUUAAGAAGCUCAGAACUGAUAAUGGAUUAGAAUUCUGCAACAAGAUGUUUGAAGAGUUCUGCAGCAAGCAUGGGAUCAUGAGGCACAGAACAGUAAGAUAUACACCUCAGCAAAAUGGAUUAGCUGAGAGGAUGAAUAGAACCUUAGUUGACAAAGUGAGGUGUAUGCUCAUUCACUCUAAGCUACCUAUGUCCUUGUGGGCUGAGGCUCUGUCAACAGCUUGUCACAUUGUGAAUAGAAGUCCUUCAACUGGAAUUAACUUUAAAACACCAUAUGAACUUUGGUAUAGUAAACCAGCAGAUUACUCCAGUUUGAAGAUCUUUGGUUGUCCAGCAUAUGCUCACAUCAAACAAGGAAAAUUAGAGCCCAGGGCAUUGAGGUGUAUAUUUCUUGGUUAUCCUGAAGGGGUAAAAGGGUACAAACUGUGGUGCACAGAUAUGAAGCCACCAAAAGCAAUCAUAAGCAGAGAUGUAGUAUUUAAUGAAGCUGAGAUGCUCCAGCACUCAGUAUCUCUAAAGACUACAAAUGCUGAAAUAAAAGAGAAAGAUGAGAGAUCUUUUCUUGAGGUGGAGCUGUUAAACUCAAACCAGAAACAGAAAUCAAGAUCAGAGGCUGGAGACAAAACAGACAUGGAAAUACAUGACACUGAGAAUGAAGCAGCAAGUGAUCAGGCAAUAAGUGAAGAUUAUCAGUUAGUGAGGGAUAGAGUAAAGAGAGUAAUAAGACCUCCUAGUAGAUAUGCAUAUGCAGAUCUAAUAGCAUUUGCAUUAACAGCAGCAGAUGAAAUAGCAACAGAUGAACCCAGAACAUACUCAGAAGCUAUUAACAGUGAUAAAGCAGUAGAAUGGAUAAAGGCUAUGGAUGAGGAAAUGAUGUCUUUGAAAAAGAAUCACACCUGGAAUCUCAUUGAAAGACCAGCAAACAAGAGGGUAGUAGGAUGCAAAUGGAUAUUCAGAAUCAAGGAGGGAAUACCAGAUGUUGAGCCACAAAGAUACAAAGCCAGGCUGGUUGCAAAAGGCUUCACUCAGAAAGAGGGGGUUGACUUUACAGAAGUUUUCUCCCCAGUGGUGAGACAUGCUUCCCUGAGAAUCCUGUUAUCCCUAGUGGCUGUACAAGACAUGCAUCUUGAACAGAGGGAUGUGAAGACUGCUUUCCUGCAUGGUGAAAUAGAUGAGAUGAUAGUGAUGUCACAACCUGAAGGGUAUGAGGAUUCAGAAAAGGCUGAUCAUGUAUGUCAUCUAAGGAAGUCACUAUAUGGAUUAAAACAAUCUCCAAGACUGUGGUAUCUGAGGUUUGACAGGUUUAUGUCAGAUCAUGGUUUUAAAAUGAGUAGUUUUGACUGCUGUGUUUACUUUAAAACUAUAGAAGGUGGUGACAAAAUCUACCUACUACUCUAUGUAGAUGACAUGCUAAUAGCUUGUAAAGAGAUGGAAUUCAUCAAUGAACUGAAACAGCAGCUGAGCAAUACAUUUGAGAUGAAGGAUCUGGGUGCUGCAAAGAAGAUCCUUGGAGUUCCGCUAAAGAGAGACAGGAAGAAUGGCAUCCUAAGCCUAACACAGCACAAAUACAUCAGGAAAGUACUUGAGAAAUUUAAUAUGGAUAAAUGUAAACCAGUACAGACACUACUGCCUUCACAUUUCAGACUGUCCUGUCAACAGUGUCCAAACUCUGAUACUGAGAAGGCUGAAAUGAAUAGAUUUCCAUACUCAAGUGCUGUUGGAUGUUUAAUGUAUGCAAUGGUCCUUACUAGGCCUGAUCUCUCACAUGCAGUGAGUGUGGUAAGCAGGUAUAUGGCAAACCCUGGGAAGGAUCAUUGGAGGGUUGUUGUAUGGAUCUUAAGAUACCUUGCUGGUACAACUGGAUAUGGUUUGAUCUAUGGAGCUGAGAAAUAUGCAGAGGUUAGUGUGGAGGGUUAUGUAGAUGCAGAUUAUGCUGGAGAUCUGGAUAAAAGAAGGUCUUUAACAGGUUUUCUUUUUAUGCUUAAUGGCUGCACCAUAAACUGGAAGGCUUCACUGUAGAGUGUUGUUGCUCUGUCAACAACUGAGGCAGAAUACACAGCAGCUGCAGAGGCAAUCAAAGAAGCUAUCUGGCUCAGAGGGAUGGUGACAGAACUGGGGUUUGAACAAAAACAAAUCACAGUUCAUUGUGACAGCCAAAGUGCCAUAUGUCUAAGCAAGAACCAGAUUCACCACGAGAAGACCAAGCAUAUUGAUAUCAAGCUUCACUUUGUCAGAUUGGAAAUAUCAAAGGGUGUGAUUAAGCUGGCUAAAAUACACACUGAUAGCAACAUUGCUGACAUGCUUACCAAAGCUGUACCAGGAGCUAAGUUUGAGUUAUGCUUAAACUCAGCUGGCAUUUGCAGGGUAUAGACUGCAGGAAAUAAGUGGAAGGGUGAACCUGAGGGAAUGGAUGAUUUGAGCUCAAGGUGGAGAAUGUUGAAUAUGAACUGCAAAUCGGUUUUAUAGUCAAGCAUGACAAGUCGGUUGAAGAUUUGUCAUCAGCAUGACAUGUCGGUUGACAGUCCAGAGAGAGCUAUAUGACAAGAUUAUCGUGUCGUCUAUAUACGCAAAGAAAGCAUGUGGUGUUCACGUGUUUCACUUAAACUAAACGGCUGCUUGAACUGUCGUUUUGUUACUUGGAAUAACCAAGAUGAAGAAACAUGUAAUGAAGGCUUAUUCAGAAGUCUGUUAAGCCGUUAAUCAGCGCGGGAAGCUACUGUUCUUCUCCACAGGAAACAGGGGAAGCUUGCUGGUGAUUUGAGAGUCCUUCUUUGAUCAAGCAUCGCCUAUAUAUAUAGCUGGGUAUUCUGGGGUUAACACUUUAAGUUCAUGUAUGCUUAGCUUCUCUAAAUAAAGCUUGCACUCUGUAAGACACUCGUUCAAUAAAGCUUGGAUUCACCCUUUCACAGUGGACGUAGGCUUCCAUAGCCGAACCACUAUAGCUUUCUUGUGUUGUCUUUUCUGCUCUUGAAUUCUUCGAUUAAACUAGCUUUGAUUCUUGGCUUGUUAAAGUGUUCUUUAAGCCGAGUUCUGUUCACAUUAGCUUUAGUUACAAGAACCCUUCUUGAGUGGAUCUUGGGGAGCCAUUUUUCGGUUCUUUACUGAUAUUUGGCACAACAAAAAUAAUCCAGACUUCCUGUGUAUCGUCGAUUCAAUGAAGAGAGAACCUUGUGUCGCCUUUCCUCUUUUGGAGUCCCUUACUCUUCACAAUUUGAUCAAUACGGAGAGGAUAUGUAUUGAUCGACUCAAAAUAGAGUCCUUCAAAGAACUCAAAACCAUAAAAGUGGAAAAUUGUGAUGAGUUGAGUAAUAUCUUCUGGCUCUCUAGUAGUACAAAAUGCCUUCCAAGACUGGAGAGGAUUGCAGUUAUCAAUUGCAACAGCAUGGAAGAGAAGCUGAUGUUGAUGUUGAUGAGAAGAUAGAGUUAGGUCAAUUAAGAUCUUUGAGUCUGGGAAAGCUUCCAAAGUUUACAAGGUUUUGCCGUGAAGUGAAGACUCCUUUCACAUCACCAAACAGACAAGAGUCGCAAGAGGAAUUGACAGCCAGUUCCAACGAGAUCAGUUCGGAAACGUCAACUCUGCUUUUCAACGAGAAGGCACGUAGGCUAAUGCUUCUUUUUUUUUUAAGUUCUAUCAUGCACUCGCAUUUGAAAAAAAAAAGUCUCAUACACUCGCUAAUUAACCUCUUAAUAAGUGCUUCUCAUAUGGAUAUUGUGUCAAAACAAGUGCUUUUCAUACUGAUAUUGGAUCUAAAGAGAAAAUUAUCUUUAGAUAGUGUUGCCAAAUUUGGAGGCUUUGGAGCUGAAUGCUAUUAAUGUCGACGAGAUUUGGCAUGACAAUCAACUUACGGCCAUGAUUAAUAGCUUUCAAAGCUUGACACGAUUGAUAGUGUGGGGCUGUGACAAAUUAAAAUACAUAUUUUCAGCUUCUAUGAUCCAAAGCCUUAAGCACCUCCAACACCUGGAGAUACGGAUAUGUAUGGGUUUACAAGGGAUCAUCUCCAAAGACAGAGCAGAUCAAGUGACCCCAUAUUUUGUCUUUCCACAAGUGACCACUCUGAAUCUCGAAGGUCUACCAGAACUCAGAUGUUUAUACCCUGGAAUGCAUACUUCAGAAUGGCCAGCACUAAAAAAAUUGGUGGCCUGUAAUUGUGAUAAAAUAACGUUGUCCCAGAAUAACGAGAAUGAUCAAUUUGGUAUUCCGGCACAACAGCCCCUGCUCUCGUUCAAGAAGGUAUGAAACCAAAUUUUAGAUUUUUUUUUAUCAAUUAUCUUUGUUGUUCCUCACUCACAGAUCAGGAGGUUUAAUAAAUACCUAUAUAGAGUUUUUUUCUAGUGGGAAUGCCCUUAUUUUUUACUUUUUUCAUGCGGAGAAACUUUCAAAUCCCACGGUUUAAGAGCGUGUGUGUGUAUAUAUAUAUAUAUAUAUAUAAUCAUUCUCAGGUGUGGGGGUCCGCAUUUUUUUUAAUGUGGACACGCUUUUAAACUGUGCGGUUUAAGAGAGUUAGUUUUUAAAUGAAUUAUGAGUCAUGCGGUUUUAGGGAGUUAAAAACUAACUCUUUUAAACCAUGGAGUCUAAAAACUGAUCCACAUGAAAAAAAAAAAAAGAUGUCCGCACUAGAGAAGGAAUAUAUAUAUAUAUAUAUAUAUAUAUAUAUUAGUUAGAUCAUUGAAAACUUUGAUUACACAAUGAAUUUUGCCAGUCUUGAAUUAUGGAUCAAUGUGCUAAGUUAAUAAUUUGAGCUCGAUGAUGAUCAGAUCUUACCCAACUUGGAGGAACUGGCAUCAAGUGGAAAAGACAUCACGAUGAUUUUGCAAGGCGAUUUCCCACAACACCUCUUUGGCAGUCUUAAACUACUACAGGUUGGGGAUGAUGACUUAGCUUGCUUUCAACUUGGUUUACUUGAGAGGUUUAACAAUCUUGAAUUUCUCUUCCUAUCGGAUUGUUCGUAUGAAGUGGUAUUUUCAAAUGAAGGAUAUUUGGAGAAACAUGGGAGGAAGUUGGCACUGAUAAAAAGGUUAAACCUGACCAGACUUAAUCGUCUGCAGCAACUGUGGAAACAUGACUCCAAACAGCUGGACUUCAUUUUUCAACAUCUUGAAAUUCUAAGAGCAUAUCACUGUCAAAAUCUGUUAAGUCGAUUGCCAUCAUCAUCGGUAUCUUUUCGGAAUCUCGCACAUCUGCAAGCUUUUGCUUGCAAGAAAUUGAUGAACUUAGGAACAUGCUCCACAGCAAAAAGUCUGGAGCGACUCUUAUCAUUGAAGGUAUUUGGAUGCACAGCAAUGACAGAAGUCGUAGUAUGUGACGAAGAUGAAACAGCAAAUAUAAAAGAAGAGAUUGUUUUCAGCAAAUUGAAUGUGCUGUAUCUGUCUGAUUUAGAUAGUCUCACAAGCUUCUCCUCUGCCAAUUACACAUUCAAAUUCCUAUCUUUGCAAGAUUUGUCCGUGAUUGGUUGUCCCAAGAUGAAGAUUUUCACCAAAGGAGAAUCAACCACGCCUCCGAGAGUAAACGUCCGGUACGGAAGGAGUGAGGACAAACUACGUUGGUCUAAUAAUGACCUUAACACAAUCAUACAACAAUUAUUAAUGAGUGAGUUUUUUAUCACGUUUUUAUAUGAGAAUCUUAUGAAAUUCCUCGGAAAUUCAUUAAUCAUUAGUUUUUAUUUCAUAAUAUGAAUUUUAAUUUAAAUUGAUGAAUGCUAAUUUUAUUUUCAGCUGUUGGAGGGGUCGUCUCGUUACUCAUCGCAGUACUGAUCUCAUACGCCUUUAGUACUAGGCGAGCUGUCAAUCUGAAGAAUAAGGUCCCACGUAUUUUAUUUUUAGAAUGAAAUCCCUAGAAAAUAUCAUUCAAAGUGACAACACUUUCAUGUGGAAAGCUUUCAGACUUUUUUCCCCCGCUUUAAUCGAGGGGUCUGUCAAAUUUAGUUUUUAAAUGAGAAUAAUUUUCAUGGGCCAUUUCACAAUGAAAAAUUAGUUUUUUCUAAAGUGAUGACAGUAAAAACAUAUGAAUUAAUGACCCAGUACAUUACCACAAAAUUAAUCUUGGUUAGUUAGGUUAUAUGAAAAUUGUACAAAAUAAAUAUUUUUUCUAGUUCAUGCUCAAUGUCGUGCUCUAUAAUUGCAGAAUUCCCAAGUGAUGAAGAAGAUUGAGGUCACUCCUCUGUGUUUGCAGCAUCAGAAAUAAGAGCUGUUUUUCUGUCAAACUCGUGCUCCGUCCUUUGAAGUUAAGUUUACAUGCUGAGGUUAUUCACUUUACUGUAUCACUAAUGCAGCUUUGAAAGUGUUUCAUUAACCCUCCGUUGUGUUUCUUUCAUUUGACUAUCUUAAGUUCAAAAACGAUGUAUCAAUUUACCAUUGGUGUGUACUGCUUCUUGUAAUAUAUGCAAUAAAUUUCCAGUUUAUUUUGACAUUUUGAAUAUAAAUUCUUUUGAAUUUUCAGUCAGAGGUUUGGUAGUUGUUCUGAUUUAUCUUCAGUUUAAUUUUGUGAUCACAGGAACGUUAGGACUUGCAUGCAUGAACGCACAUUAAAUCACAGAAUUUUUGUCAUACAUCCAUGCAGAUGAAAUUUUAUCAGCAAUCUUGUAAUUUUCUGUUAUUGUUGUCGUUGUCAUUAUUCUAUUGCUGGUCCUGUUUGAAAUUUCUAGUAUUUUAGAUGUGAAAUUUAUUAUAUUAGGUAUUCAAGGUAUAUAUAUGAUGCUGAAUACAGGGCUUCUGUUGUCUAAAUUUGUUUUAUUUUGUUUGCUUCACAUAUAAUUUUCAAAAACUUUUGAAGAAUGCUGAGAGAAGGAACAAUUGGGCUAAAGAAUCAAAUGUAAUAUUGAAGUUAGUUUGUUAAUUGCCAUCAUUGCUGUCCUGUUAUUUUAAUUUUUGCCCUGUUUGUUCUGUUUCCCUGUUUGCUCCACAUCUAUCUUCCCUAACUUAGAAGGCAAGGAAUUUGUACUUGAAGACGAAUAGCAGUUGCACAAAAUGUGGCAACCACACCAAAUAAUCAGUUUGUUGAGAAAUUUUCAAAGCUUUACUUGAUAAAAAUUUGAAAGUUUUGAAGAGGAUUCAGGUCGCUCUUCUGUGCAGCCUCUGGAAUAAGAGCUGUGUCACUGUUGAAAAGUUUACAUGCUGAGAGGCUUCCAUCUUCAUUGUUCUACUUAUGCUUUACUUCAUCUUCACCGUGUCACUACAAGGUUAAGGCAGCUACAGUUAUGACGGAGAAGGAUCAUUCCCUGAUUUUGGCUGCUUCAAGUUAGUUGGGUUUGGUGAACCAAGUUGUGUCAGGAUUAGCUUAUAAGGGCCCACAUGAUUUCAGACGAGCCUGAGCUUUUGUCUCUCCCUCAUCCAUCUCAACACACUCAAUCUUCAUGUGGCUUUUGCCCGCCAAUCCACUAGCUCCAGCUUCCUGAAAAUGUAAAACAACUACUAGUAUUAUGGUCAGUGAUCGCUGUCAGAUUGAUUGGAUUAAUUAUAAUUACAGAUCAAACUGUUGAAAUUCAAUUUAACAGAUACACACGCCUUGGCGCGUUUCCAAGUUUCGGCAACGGUGAGAGGACCGUGUUCCUUGACUAUGGCAAACAUAACCCUCGUAAUUCUCUGAGUUUGCUCCGGUGGAGUUUUUGAGAUCUAUGGGUUUCAUCUUUGGUUUCGGCUUCGUCGACAAAUAUCUCACAAACAUUCUGCAUUCAAGAAACAACACAACUCCCGCUCUAAAUGUAUUUUAUACACUUUCAAACGCACCGUUUUGAUUUUUGUUAUAAACAUGACGCCGCCAUUUUUAUUUUUUAUUUUUUUUUUGAACAGGCGUAGCACUACUGUUUUCAGUAAUUUUGGGAUGUGUAGCACUACUGUUUCUUUUUAAUCCUUUCCUUUUAUCUUUUAUAGCCAUCUUCCAUGUUAUUAGGAGGAGUGGUUUUUACUAUUUUAAAAAAAAUUUGAUCAAAUUAAACUUUUGAUCAGAGUUCAUAACAAAAAUCAAAACGGUGCAUGACAUCGAGAUUAUGAUGAAUCAAAUUGAACUCCCAGUACGUUAGUUCAUAAAAAAUGCUUUUCUUCUUCCAAGUAAUCUUAUCAUUUCCUUCAUUUUAUUCACUCUCCUCUUUUCAAGUCUUCAAUCUUACACUCGGUAAGUAAAAUAUUCAACUGCUUUUUCACUUCAGUUCCGGACAACCGAGAAGGUGCUUGUCUCUACUCUCCACUCCCUAUUCUCUAGUUUUAUCAAAAGACACUAUUUUCGAAACCUAUGAUUCGUUGGUUAAAAUCGACGGUAACCCAGUGACAAAAUUUUCUAUUAUGUAUCAACCAAUUAGAUCUAGUGUUUUGUUGGCAAACAAGAAAUGCUUAUUUACCUUUAAUAGUCCACCCAAACAAGUUGGCAUUUGCUAGAAAGUCAGAGAUAGUCCAUAACAAUGCUGCAUGUAACUUGAACAUUUGAUUACGUGAUGCAUCGUGUAUCAUUCCAACCAUACUAUCAUCAGCACCCGAGCCAUGACUAACCUGUUUCUUAGUUAGAUUUCAAAGAUGAAGAUGGCUUACCCUGCAAUAUCCAGCUUUAAUACUUUAACCAAAAACCAUUUAUAAUGAUAUGGUCUCCUGCCACUUCCCUUAUAACGAAAUAUCGAUUACGACACUUCUUACAAGGACAAUAAAUACUUGUAUCACCAACAACAUUCUCAAAUGCAAAAUCUAGAAAUUUUUCAACCCCAUUGGUAUAUGACUUGGAUAUCUAUUUGGCAAACCAACCCAACUCUUGUCCAUGACUAUCUCCCUUUAAUGCACUACAAAAAUUAGUUAAAUAAAUCAUUUUAGUUCUUCAUUUCUACUACUAAACAAGAUAUUUUCAUGUGUGCACAGUUUUGGAAUAUAAUGAAAAAAUCAUUAUACAAUUUUAUGGUUAAUUUCGUUAGAAUAUUUAUAUAGAUGAAAGGAAGCAAAGCCAAAAGAAUCAGAGAAAAAGAUGUGAAAAUUAAAGUAUAUAUACAAUAAUAAUUAAUGUAAAAAAAAUGUUUCCAAUACCUUGUGCAAAGAAAUAUCCUCACCCACUGCUGAGAACUUCACUUGGCUAUCAAUUACAGAUAUAUAAAGCCUGUUACCUUAAAAAAAAUUAGGCCAGCCAGCUGAAGCAUACUUAUAAACCAACAUUGGAGAUAGUACUCCAUUUAUAAACAAAAUUACAACUUUACAAGCUCAAAACCAAGUCAACUCAGCAAAACCAUUACCGAUUACAUCCAUCCAACUCAGCUCCUCCACUCCCAUCAAUGCAUCCAACAUUCCCUUCAUAUUUACAAAAGGUAAGUGGUUCUAUAUAUCCCACUCAAGAAUGCAUAAGUUUCUUCAAUCUCAAGUAUCUAGAGUUUUCUUCUAUGUUUAUAGAAAUUUCAGAAGAAUCUCCCUAUAAUUCUUCAAGUACAUGACAUAGAUAUAUGAGUGUUUAUGUGCUAUGCCAAAACAACACAUAGUAUGUACCCAGAGACCAUGAGGAGCAGCUACUAAGAAACCCAUUUUUACAUCGGAAAAAAACUUCAUGUACUAACCAAUGAGUAGUUGUUAAAAGCCAAUGAAUAAUUUUAUAAGAAAUCAACAAUAAUGUUGAAAAAAAAACCAAACAAAAAUAAUAAAGCCAAUGAAUAGAUUAAGGCUCUUUAAGGUCUAAUAAACUAAUCAAACUAAGUUGUGGGUAAAGGCGAAUAUGUUUGUUUGGUCAAUAAUAAGCUCAACAAAUCACUAAUAAUCACCUAAUCACUUUUCCUUAUGCUAUGCAAUGUAAUGGCCUGGGUAAUGGCUGCAAGGCAGGCAAUAACUAGCUAGCCAGUUAUGAUAGUGGAUUAACUUAACCUACUGGAAAUCUGAAGACCAAAACGAAGAAGCUUUGACGAGAACUAGAAUAGGAACGUUCAUACCCAAAACUAAUAUAUAUGAUUAAGAAACUUGAUUAAAUGUAUAAUUUUGUUUGCCGCAAUUUAAGAGAACUUUCAAAAGAUGCUAAGGUACACCAAAUCCCACUAUUCCAUACUCGUAAACACAAAAAACCAUGGCAAAAAUUAAUUACUAUAUCAAAUAAAAUAGGUCGUAGGACAUUGAGAUUAGGAAAACAUGAUUUGUAUACUGUAAAAUAACUAUAUCUGCAUAGUCAACUAUAUUUCUGUUAGAACUCUAAAGUUUUCCAUUAAAUUUUUUUUCCCUCUUAAGUAAACCACUUAACUGAAAUGCUUAAGCCAAUAUUGACAAUCAUAGACAUACAAGUAUUAUUAAGCUCGUUCAAGUGAAAUGAGCAUUAUUUUACAUAUCCUUUAGGUUUUUAAGUCAUUUAGAAGUCAUUCAUGUUAAAAAAUUUCUUCAUAUACUUUCAAUAUAAUUAGUACCUGCACAAUUAAUUAAUUAAAUAAAUCUGUUUCAGCUGGCACAGGAACUUAAUUGAUCAGAGCUAGUAGUCAUAGCUAGGACUUGAACGGGGCACCUUUCAAAGUUCAAGAGGAGCAUCUGAACAGAAUGAAAGCAUAUAACUUAUCAGACAAUAUAACAAGCACUUGGUGAGUAUACAAGAUAAACUAAAACAAGUUAUCUAGAAAAUGAAACUAAAACCCAAGCUCCGCUAUUCAUUGUAGAAGCUUUAAACAUAAAAUUAAAGUAAUUCUAAUUGCAAAACAUUAGAAUGGAUGUUGAAAUUAAAGCUAAAUUCAAUAGUAAUUCAAAUGAAUCCAUUUGAACUUUGUUAAUUCCGCAGAACAAAAUUAAUUUGAGUGAGCAAACUCACCAAUGGAACAAGAACACUGGGGCUUCAACUUGUAGGAAUAAAAAAAGGAAAAAUAUUGCUGGCGGGACAAAAAUUGACAAUGACGGCUAAAAUACGAAUUAUAAAAAAAAACCAAAAUCUAUAAUUACAAGCUAAGAGAAGAAACUCAUAAUCACAAGCUUACCUCAAAAGAUGAAGGGAGAAUACGAUGAAGAAGAAGAUGGCCGGUGUUUUACGCCGUUCGCCGGCAACCAGUUAGGUUUACGAUGGUGGCUAGUCCAGCGAAUAGUUUUGUAACUGGAAAUAAAUUUAAAAUUCUAAAAUAGUAGGAUACCGAACGGCUCUUUACCGUCACGUGGUUAGUAACAUAUGCGACAGCAGUGUGGCUGUCACAUAAAGGGUAACAAAAGCAACUCGGGUUUACAAAGCUAGAAGUUAGUGAUAUACGUAAUGGCUUUGUUUGCAUUCACAUUAGGGGUCACAUAUACCCUAUUUUCUUGUAGUACAUGGUAAAUUCUAUUUGAAAAUUGCUAAGUAUUUUAGAUUUGUACGAAUUCAUUUUUGUGUGCUCGUUGAAUAAUAAUGUAUAAUAAAUUAAAUUUUUGGUGUAAUUUUCACAAUAUUGUAUUAUAAAUAUGUCUCGUUGAGAGGUUUUGAAACCGUUUUGAUUUAUCAUAAUUGAUAUUUCCACAAUUACAAAAGAUGCCAGAGAAAAUUUGAUUAUCUUAAGAAAUGAGUGCAUGAGAUAUGAAAUCAACCAUACCAUAAAAUCAAAUUUUAUCAUGUCAUCCUUCCUUGUUCAAAUUUAUGGAAACGAUAAUCAAAUGCAUCCAUGAACUAGUAUAUUCCGACAUAGGUACCAUCAAAUUAUUGCUAUGUCAUACUUAUAAAUUUUAAUAACAACAAUUGGGCCAAGCAUAUGUUGGGCAUUUGAAGAUUUAUAAGCUCCAUCCUUGAAAAAAUAAGGCUUGACUAUUCUCAAUAUAAUUCUUUUUGUUUUAAGUUCUUAAUUAAGCUUUCUUGCUUGUUUUCAAGAGCCAGUAUUGUAAUGAUCGACAAAGAUGAUUUGCAUUUAUUGCACUUGGCAGUUAUGUGUCACUUAUUAAUUAGAUUUAAAUUUUAUAAAUUAAUUAAGUUGAUUAGUACUUUAUGUUGAUGCAGAAAUCUGGUCAAGUCGGUUGUUGACUCAAUACCACAUCCUCGCGUCAGCAUUAAAUUUGUUUGGUGGAGAAGCGGCUUGUUAAUCUCCAAGAAAAUCCUCUAACCACGAGCAGAUAAUCCAUGAGCAGAUGAUCCAUGAGCUGCUAAUCAGUGAGCACCAUGAGCAGAUGUUCUAUGAGUAGAUAAUGAAUGAGAAGAUGAUCCAUGAGCAGAUAACCCGCAAGCAUGCAAGCACAAAGAACAGUCAGGGGGCACCAUAAGCUUUUCCAGCGAAAACCCUCUGACGCUCAAGUCAGGGAUUUGGGUCUACUUAGAAAAAUCCGUACCACAAUUCACGCGGCUUAAUUAUGAAUACUUUAAAAAAAAGCUUUUAAAUAAAUUUAUGGAAAAAGAAUAGAAAAUAAUCAAUCUUAAAAAAAGAAAUCAUGGCAGAAAGAGAAGUUUCCCAGUGAUAGAGAGAAAAAGAUCCCAUGGGUUCAGUCGCCCAGAGAGAGAGAGAGAUAAAAAGAAUCCCCCCAUUUUCCUCCCUUUCCCAGAGUUUUUAUAGGAAAUUAUAAUUGUUUUUUUCCUCUCACCUAAAACUCUCAAGAAGACUACUAAUUUUCAGCCCGCUAAGAAUAUGGUCCCUAAUAUUUCGAAGAAAAUAAGUGAGAUUUGUUUUGACUGAGUCGUGCUUCCUGGUAACCUCCUGGUCGAGAUAAUCUGCUCGAGGUCACCAAAUAAUCUCAAGGUCGAGGUGAUAUGCUCAAGGUGGCCAAAUAAUCUCUUAGUCAAGAUGAUGUGCUCGAGAUCACCAAAUAAUAUAUUGGUCAAGGUGAUGUGCUCGAGGUGACCAAAUAAUCUCUUGGUAGCCUAUCAACUAUUUGUUCACUUUUUACUUUGAGAAGAGCACAAUAAUGUAUGAGUAAAUACCUUAUCUUGGUCACCCUAUUUCAUUCCCCGAAUACUUUAUAUGUGCACUAAAUGAUAGAUACUGCAUAAAUUGGGACACUAGUAACUAUGUAUCCAAACUAUGUAAUAUUUUUUUGUCACAAACUCAAUCAUGGCCUGAUAUUCUAAAUAUUAUUUAGAAUACCAUUUCAAGCCCCAUGGGGGCUCCUUCCAUUUAAAAAAAAAAGUAUGAAAUAGAUGUAGAUUUUUCUUCAGAUAUUAUUAGUAAGAAAGAGUACCUUUGGUGGCAAUGGUCCGGGAUGAUUUGGGAUUUGACAAUUCCACCCUCAUCUUAAUUAUAAAAUGGAAUGUAAGUAAUAAGUAUGGAUAAACUCAUCCUGCUUAUAUAUUGGUGAUCAAAAUUAGGACCAAUCUCAAACCGCUCACAAUUAUGUCCUAUCCUAACUAUCCUGAAUGUCUCGAAUGCCUCCCUUAAUUAUCAUUUUAGUUCUCAUUAACAUAUUAGCAAAAUUUCCAUAUAUUAAAAAUAUUAGGGUCUGACUAUCUAUACUUAAAAAAUUACUAUGAACACUCAAUUAUUUUAUUCCCUCAUCUAAUAAAUUUAAAAAAUUAAGUUUUAUUUUGCACACUUUUUAAAUAACAAAAACAUCUUUACAUGAACCUAAUAAGUUUCUUUAAAAAAAUUAAAUCAAUUAUUUUUAUUUAUUCAAAAUACUAAUAAAACUAUUCAGCAGACCGUGAAAUAAAAUUUUUAAGAAAUUUAGCAUAUACAACAUUGAAAUCAAUUUAUGUUUCAAAUAAAUUCUUUAAUACAAUCAUAGUAAUUACUUAUUGUUUAUUAAAGAAUGUGUUCACGAUUGUUUUUAAUUUUGCGAAAUCAAAAAAGAAGAAGAAGAAGUUUGGGGUUUAAGAUACAUUUAAUUUUUAGUGUAACAGUUGUAUCAAACAAAAUAAAAACUAAAACAUCCAAAAGUUACAAGUUCCAACACCUCCCAAAUAAAGGCCCGUUAGGAUUGUUUUUGGGAAGCUCAAAAGUGAUUUUGAAAACUAAAAGCUAAUUUUUAGUGUUUUAUAAAUUUUUUUAGUAAUUACUUUUGGAAAAAUCAUUUCAUCAUACAGUGGAUUUUAAAAAGUAUAAAUAGUUUUUCAAAAUUUGAUUUUGAAAAUCACUUUUAUACUUAAUCCAAUUUUAUAUAUAUAUCCUCAUUAUAUAAUAAAAAUCCAAAAAUAUCUUUAUUAAUUAAGAAAUAAAAUUAUUAAGUUUAAAGAGAUUAUUAUUAUUAUUACCAAUUAUAUUGAGAUAACAAAAUAAAGAAUAAAAUUUAAUAAUAUAAAAUAUUUAUUUUAGUUAUCAAUAAUUAUAUGUACAUAAUAAAAAUAUUUUAAAUACAUGUCUGUAAAUGUGUAAAUAAAUUUUAUUUAGCAUUAUGUCCAAUUUAGUUAUUUACAUUCUUGGACCAGUUUAACAAUAAAAUUUAUGAAAUAUAUACGACUGCUUUUAAAACUAAAAGUACUUUUAAAAAUAAAUUUUACUAAAUGUUCAGCUGAUUCUCUUCACGAUUGAUCAAUUUCUACAACAUAGCUAACUGUAAUUAUUUUAAAAUUACAGGAUUACCAAAAUGACCCUAAAUCAAACCAAUAAAAAUGUCUAAAAGUAACAAUAAAAAACCAAAGCAAACGUACAAAAAUUCAUGCAUAAAUUGAUAAUCAACAAAAACAUCCAAAAGUUCAACUCCAAGUUUUCUGUUCAAUUGACAUAACCCUUAAAUUUCAAAAGGCAUAAUCAAUUUUGUGUCUAAUCGUAUAAAAUUAGAAAAUUAAAGAAUAUUAUAUACUGAUAAUUAAAUAAUAUGCAAUUAAUAAUGUUAAAAAAAUAAUGUCAAACAUAUUGUCAACUAAAAUAAUUGGGAGAAUUGGAGUUCCAAGAUAAAUUCUUAUCUAGUCCCAAAUCAACAAUUGGAAUUAAUUUCAAUCUUAAACUCUGACUGCCUUUAAAAUUGGUCCUAAUAAUAUGGACAAAUCCCAUUCUGAUCAGUAUGGAAUUCCAACCCCAUAUCUUUGGGUCUCGAUGGUGUUUAGUUGGAGGGAUGAGACGGGAAGGAAAUGAAUUCAAAUUCCUUUCACUUUUCUGUUGUUUGGUUUUCACUAAUAUAUGGGAAUUCAAUUUCUAUUGAAAUUUAAUUUUCAUCAAAUUGUGCAUUUUGGAUUCCUCACCGAAGGUUGUAAAAUUCAAAUGCCCCUCCUAUUAGAAAUCGAGUCAUCCAAAAUUGCUCCUCUCAAAUAUUUAUCAAUUAUUUUAAUUCUUAUCAAAUAAUUCUUAUUUAUGAUUUUAUUUUUUCAAUUUAAAUUGUCACUAAGGAUUCUUGACUUACUACCGUAGAAAAGCAAAAAUACAAUUUAUAGAUUAUGAUAAUUCUAUGUAUUGUAUGAGAAUUGCAAUCCAAAAAUUUUCCCUACUAAACGAUUUUCAAUCGACAGCAAAUACAUGCUUUCAAAUUUAGUCAGCUGAACUAAUUUUUGUUUUUUUGGAUUAAUUUUGAAAUGUUGCAUCCAUAACGAGCUGCCAUUGAAAUUAAUGUUAACAACAAAAGUAGAAGCAAAAGGAGAAACAAGCGUCAUGUGCAGUACCCACUGUGAACUACUCACAUUGGAAUAAGUUGUUGGCAGCUGGUCUGUUUGGCCAUUAAUAUUUUGACUAUUCAGUGUUGAUUUUGAUUCCACUAAAUUAAGCCAUCAAAAAUUGCUGGGAAGGGAGUAAUAUCUAUUCAUAAUUGGAAAUACUCACCGUACAAUGAAGGUUAGAGCUGCAUGUAUCAUUUAUUAUUAACAACUAACUUAUGAAAUGCUUUGAAUGUACCUCCUAGGUCGUAUUUACUAUACUGGUUAGGAGAAACUACAACAUUAAAUUAUUUGAUAAAUACUUAUUAUAAUUUUAAAAAUAUAUUAAUUUUAUCCUUAACUUUAUGAUAAAAAAUUUAAAAUAUAUAUAAAUCAUUCAUUUUAUAAUCUUGAACUUUAUUAAAGUUUCAAAAACUAUUACUCUAUAUGAUAUAAUAGUGUGAUGUUAUUACACUAUUAUACCAUAUAAAAUAUAUUUGCUUUCUUAAAUUUUAAUAAAGUCUAGGUUUUGGAGAGAAGCACUUUAUAUAUAUGUAUAUAUAAUGAUUCUCCAGUGACGACAUCCUCAUUUUAACAAAGUGAUGAUAUCGCUAACAAACUAAAUAACACACAUUUCAAUACACCAAUAGAUUAAAAAAAUCCAGUUCUUAAUGUGUUAAAAUAUAUGUCUUUUGUAUAUUAUUGAUAUUUUCACUUUAACAAAGUGAGAGUCUCCUCACUAUAGAAGUACUUUAUAAAUAUUCUUUGUAUUUUUGUGAAAAUUAUUAUUUAAAAGUCAUAUCUUACCAAAGACUAAUAGUUUUUAUUUUAUCAUUACGCCGUACUUUUCAAGACAGAACACCUCAAUACCAUGACCUUAAUUUUUGAACUCUGCUGUACAAAGUUGUUGGUUGGUCUAUUUACUUUAGUGUUUCAAUUAUUUGUCGUUUGAACUGAGAUGAUCCGAAUAAAGCUAUAUAUCAAUAAUUUCCUAGUGAAACUUCGGGAAAAAAUAAAAAUCCUCUCAUACAGUAGCAUUAUUUUAAUUCUCAGCUUGAUUAUGUUUUGAGUUAACUUAUAGAUUAUUUGAAAUAAAAAGAAUAUAAUUUAUUUUUUCUAACUAAAUAUUUUAAAAUAAUUUUGUUAAUUUAAUGAGUACUUAUACACUUACAACGUUAUGAUAUAAAAUUAUAUCCCAGAAUACUGCUAUGUGUUUCUUAGUAAUUAACUUUUUAUACUAUUAUUAAUGAGAUAAUUAACUUCAACACCAAUAAACAAAUUUUAUAUUAAUACAUCCUCUAGCUUUAUUAUCAAAUAAUCAUAUGUCAUAAUCAAAGCAAGCUACCAGAGCCUACCACUAAAAGAUUUAUUGAAGGGUUUUCCAAGUUUGAAAAUGUUAGUAGCAUUGGCAAAUGGCAACUUCCAGGAAUCUUCCGAUCAAAAUAGUUGAAUCAACUAUUCAAUGAAAUACGCAAAUGGCACAAAGGACCCCCACCACCCAUUAAGUCACGUCAUUUAUUUAUUUGUAAAAGAAAAAUAAGGUUCCGAUCGGAAGAAAUCAGCACCUUAUAAUGCAUGAUUACUCGUAUGUCAAGUUUACCGAUUAUAAGUCAUCAUCACAAUAACUUUGGACUUUAAUAUUUAAGUCUCUGUUUGGGACCAAUGUAUGGCAGUUGGACAACACAUCACUCAAUUAUAGAGUGUGAAAUAUUGAUAUUGUUCUUAUUAUUUUAUGUAAUGUAUAAACGUUUCCUUUUAUUUUUGUUUGAUUAUUUAUUUUUUAUACUUAAUAAAUAUAAAUUUAUUUUUUUAAUAUUUAACAAAUAGUCACGGCUAGACAAUAUUGUCAGAUAUUACAAACGAUGACCCAAAUCCUUUUAUCUCACAGAAAUAAUUUAAAUUCACAACAACUAUGACGUUACAUUAUCAAAUAAACACUAAAUACUUUGAUGAUUAUAGUUUAUCUUUCAUUCAUAGCAUGAAGAGUUUGAAAUAUGAUCUCAAAACAAAGAGUACGACAUGUCAUGUUCGGUUUUCAGAAGAAGUGUACGCCAUGUCAUCCGAAAACUAAAAGGCACGUAUGACAACCAGACGCUGUCAUCUCUGAUUUGCUUACACUUUAAGGAUGAAUUCUGGGUUUUGAGUGACAAUUAAAAGCUAGAGUGAGAAUUAGAGAGACAGUUAUAUAUUCUUAUUUAUUCCUAGCACUUGCUAUAUUGUGUAGGUCUUUUGUGACUCCAAUAAUAAAAACGCUCAUAUUAUUUUUUAUAGAGCAAUAUUUGUUAAAGCAUGAAGAACGGCAGAAAUAUUGUAAAUCCAUCUCAACUUUUUUGUUUAUUGUGGUCGUUGAUAGCGCUAGCUGUUUUCUUAUUUAACUUUGUUCCCUUUUGCCAUCAGCUCUUAGCAUUUUCAUUGGAUCAAGCGACCAUUUUCUUGCUUCAAUUUCUGAUCUCAAAAGCACUUUGACUCUCUUCAGUUACACUGAUUUUCUCCUUGUUUUGUACACAUAUCUUUUCUCUUUCCCAUUUAGCUUUGAUUUGCUUCUACUUGACUAUCAAUUGCCCAGUCGUUGAACCUGUUGUAUUUUUAUUUUGUUCACUUCAAAUAGACCAAAAAAAACAAAUGUUGGAUAAAAGCCAAAAAUCUAAUUUGAUUUUUAAUAUGAUUUAGCUAAGAUGUCCAAUUUAAUGCUAAGAGUAAUGUUAAGGAUCCCAAUAAUUGAAUCUCAACUGAUAUGAUAGUCAUUUAUUAGAUGAUCGAAAUAUUAAUUUUACUAAUUAUGAAAUUCAUUAUCUAAUAAAAUAAUGACACAUAACAAUUGGGUCUCAAGUUAGAAUUCUACUAUUGAAAUUCCUAACAUUAUUCUAAUAUUAAAAAUUCAUCAAAAUAAUAUCUAUUAUCUAAAAAAAUAAAAUAAAAAUCUAAAACCAUAAAUUUACUCUUCGAUCUUCGUGAUUUGACUGAUUUCUUUAUAUUUUUAUCGGUCAUUUUAUUGGUACUGGUUUGAUUUUCUGACUAAGCUACUGUUUAGUUCUAAGUUUUGGCAAUUACCCGGACUGCUCUGUUUUGUGUAUCAUCGACACAAUAAGGCUUAGCAUUUAAAAGUCGGCAGCCACGCAACUUCUUGGAAUCUUCGUGCAAGUGUUGGAUAUCGACUGUUCGAUAAUGAUGGCAGCAUUUGACUGGAGUGUAAUUGACGCAGUGGAAUAAGGAUCACAUGUCUCAAACUUUUGGUGAAGAUAUUGUCAGAUAUUUUAUUGAUCAAGUAAGGAUCACAAAUAAUGGAUAUUGGAUGAGGAUCACAUGUUUUAUGGGACUUAACUAUGUUGCAACAGUGAUACUAUACCAUUGUUUUUGUCAUUAUUCAUCGCGGCCAUUGGAUGGUAACUUAUUUAAUCUAAUGGUUUAAAUUAGUUAAUGGAGAAAUGACGCGGCAACUUACAACCCUUGCAGCCGGUUCUGUAUUGAUCUAAUAGCAUGGAGUAGUAAGCGUGCGUUCCAGAACCUUGUCACUGAUCAUGAAGAACAUUGAUCCAAUAGCAUGGAGUAGUAAGCGUGCGUUUCAAAGAUGCUAAGAUACACCAAAUCCCACUAUUUCCAUACUCAUAAAAACAAAAAGCCACGGCAAAAUGAAUGACUAUAUAAAAUAAAAUAGGUCAUAGGACAUUGAGAUUAAGGCAACAUGAUUUGUAUACCAUAAAAUAACUAUAUCUGCAUAGUCAAUUAUAUUUCUGUUAGAACUCUAAAGUUUUCCAUUAAAUUUUUUUCCCUCUUAUGUAAACCAUUUAACUGAAACGCUUAAGCCAAUAUUAAAAAUCAUAGACAUACAAGUAUUAAUAGGCUCGUUCAAGUGAAAUGAGCAUUAUUUAUUUAGGUUUUUAAGUCAUUUAGAAGUCAUUCAUGUUAAAAAAUUUCUUCAUAUACUUUCAUUAUAAUUAGUACAUACACAAUUAUUUAAAUAAAUAAAUCUGUUUCAGCUAGUACAGGAAAUUAAUUAAUCAAAGCUAGUAGUUAUAGCUAGGAUCUGAAUUACAGAGUUCAAGAGGAGCAUCUGAACAGAAUGAAAGUCCUUUAUAGAAAUGGUAAUGUCGCUUUACCAUUUAGAUAUCUUCUAGAAAGUACUUACAUCACGCAAUUAGGGACCGAUAUUUAAUGACAAUAACAAUCCAAAAGAUUGGGAGGGCCAACUAAAGGAAUAAAUCACUCAACCAAACCCUUAGGGACAGAUAGUUAAUGACAAUAAUAAAAGAUCCAUUCCUAUGCAUACGAGCUUAGUCUAUUAUGUUAAAGAGGCACCCUGUUGUUCGAUAGUCAGCACAACAAGUGAUCAAUGAGGUUGUUGCACAGACUGAUGACAUGGAAUUACGGCUCAGCCCAAGUGGUUCUGUGAUCUGUAGUAGACAAGCUGAGUAGUGGGAUUGGUUAGCUUGAUUUGCUGUGAAUAGUAGCUUAGUUAACAAGUUUGUUAGAUUACUGCAUAUAAAGCAAGCGAACUCUCUGUGUAUUCAUACUGUGAAGUAAAUCAAUCGAUUCAUUUUCUCUCAAAUCUCAAUGGUACUUUCUCUAUUUAAAUUUUAAAAUACCUUUAAUUAGGAUUAAUUAGAUUUUUCGCUUAUUAGGAUAAAAGCGAGAAAAAAGCACAACUACAAAAUUUGAUUGCAAAGUGUAAACCUACAAUUUUUUUGGGUAAAACAUGGAUAGUAAAACAUACAAUUAAAGAAGGAGAUAAAAAGCGUUUAUAUUUCACCUGAUUAGUUUCAGAAUUUGAGUGGUCUCAUCCCCACCAGCCAUUGAAUCGUUGAUAUGAUCACAUGCAUUGUUUUUAGAGGCACACAGGAGAGGUCUAUUUAGCACAACUAGCGUGACAAACGUUUUGCUGCACUCGUAGCAGACACUUGUACGACCGAUCGGGAUGGGUGAUUUCUGUUUUGCAACAACUUUCUGAAAAGUUAUGAAUGAUCACCUUCAACUUUUUUGGCAUCUUCUCUUCCCUGGCAUAAAUUAUAUGUGUUAUGAAUGAAGCACCCUUCAGAGUUCAAGAGGAGCAUCUGAACAGAAUGAAAUCACUUUGUAGAAAUGGUAAUGAUGCUUUACAUCUACAUGCUCUUACACAAUAUGAACUUUCAUUUAUUCAAGAACAUAACACUACCCCAAGCUCUUAUUCUACAAGUCAAUUCAGUUUGUAGAUGCACGCCAUUGUAAAAACUUUUGUAUUAUAAUUUCUGAAAAUAGAACGUAACAUUAUUAAUAUAGAAUCAGCAAUGUAUAUAACUUAUCAGACAAUAUAACAAGCACUUGGUGAGCAUACAAGAUAAACUAAAACAAGCUUUAAACAUAAAAUUAAAGUAAAUCGAAUUGCAAAACAUUAGAAUGGAUGUUGGAAUUAAAGCUAAAUUCAAUAGUAAUUCAAAUGAAUCCAUUUGAACUUUGUAAAUUCCGCAGAACAAAAUUAAUUUGAGAGAGCAAACUCACCAAUGGAACAAGAACACAGGGGCUUCAACUUGUAGGAAUAAAAAAAUAUUGCUGGCCGGACAAAAAUUGACAAUAACGGCUACAAUACGAAUUAAAAAAAAAAUCAAAAUCUAUAAUUACAAGCUAAGUGCGAGAAGAAACUCAUAAUCACAAGCUUAACUCAAAAGAUGAAGGGAGAAUACGAUGAAGAAGAGGAUGGCCAGUGUUUUACGCCGUUCGCCGGCAACCAGUUAGGUUUACGAUGGUGGCUAGUAACACGGAGUCCAGCGAAUAGUAGCAUACCGAACGGCUCUUUACCGUCACGUGGUUAGUAACAUAUGUGACUGCAGUGUGGCCGUCACAUAAAAGGUAUCGGGGUUACAAAGUUAGUGAUAUACGUAAUGGCUGCUUUUGCAUUCACAUUAGGGGUCACAUAUACCCUAUUUUCUUGUAGUACAUGGUAAAUUCUAUUUGAAAAUUGCUAAGUAUUUUAGAUUUGUACGAAUUCAUUUUUGUGUGCUCGUUGGAUAAUAAUUUAUAAUAAAUUAAAUUUUUGGUGUAAUUUUCACAAUAUUGUAUCAUAAAUAUGUCUCGUUGAGAGGUUUUGAAAUCGUUUUGAUUGAUCAUAAUUGAUAUUUCCACAAUUGCAAAAGAUGCCAGAGAAAAUUUGAUUAUCUUAAGAAAUGAGUGUACGAGAUAUGAAAUCAACCAUACCAUAAAAUCAAAUUUUAUCGUGUCAUCCUUCCUAUUUCAAAUUUAUGGAAACAAUAAUCAAAUGCAUCCAUGAAUUAAUAUAUUUCGACAUAUAUACCAUCAAAUUUUUGCUAUGUCAUGCUUACAUAUAUAUAUAUAUAUAUAUAUAUAUAUAUAUAUAUAUAUAUAUAUAUAUAUUGAAAUUUUAUUAACACCAAUUGGGCCAAGCAUGUGUUGGUACUUGAACAUUUAUAAGUCCCAUCCUUGAAAAAAUAAGGCUUGGCUGUUCUCAAUCUAAUUCUUUUUGUUUUAAGUUCUUAAUUAAGCUUUCUUGCUUGUUUUCAAGGGCCAGUUUUGUAAUGAUCUGCAAACAUGAUUUGCAUAUAUUGCACUUGGCAUCUAUGCGUCACUUAUUAAUUAGAUUUAAAUUUUAUAAAUUAAUUAAGCUGAUUAAUACUUUAUAUGUGCACCAAAUGAUAGAUACUACAUAAAUUGGGAUACUAGUAACUACGUAUCCCAACUAUUUAAUAUUUGUUUGUCGCAAAUCCAAUCAUGGCCUGAUAUCCUAAAUAUUAUUUAGGAUACCAUUUCAAGCCCCAUGAGGGCUCUUUCUGUUUUUUUUUUUUUUAAAGUAUGAAAUAGAUGUAGAUUUUUCUUUAGAUAUUAUUAGUGAGAGUACCUUUGGUGGCAAUGGUCCAGCAUGAUUUGGGAUUUGACAAUUCCACUCUCAUCUUAAUUAUCAAAUGGAAUGUAAGUAUCGAUAAACUCGUCCAGUUUAUAUAUUUGUGAUCAAAAUUAGGACCAAUCUCAAACCACUCGCAAUCAUGUCCCAUCCUAACUAUCCUGAAUGUCUCGAAUGCCUCCCUUAAUUAUCAUUUUAAUUCUCGUUAACAUAUUAGCAAAAUUUCCAUAUAUUAAAAAUAUUAGGGUCCGACUAUCUAUACUUUAAAAAUUAUUAUGCACAAUCAAUUAUUUAUGCACUCAUCUAAUAAAUUUAAAAAAUUAAGUUUUACUUUCUACACUUUUUAAAAUAACAAAAACAUCUUUACGUGAACCUAAUAAGUUUCUUGAAAAAAAUUAAAUCAAUUAUUUUUAUUUAUUCAAAAUACUAAUAAAACUAUUCAGGAAAAUUUUUAAGAAAUUUAGCAUAUACAACAUUGAAAUCAAUUUAUGUUUCAAGUAAAUUCUUUAACACGAUUUUAGUUAUUACUUAUUGUUUAUUAAAGUAUGUGUUCACUAUUGUUUUUAAUUUUUUUUUUAAUCAAAAAAGAAGAAGAAGAAGAAGAAGAUGUUUGUGGUUUAAGAUACAUUUAAUUUUUAGUGUAACAGUUGUAUCAAACCAAUAAAAACUAAAAGAUCCAAAAGUCACAAGUUCCAAUACCACCCAAAUGAAAGGCCCCGUUAGGAUUGUUUUUGGGAAGUUCAAAAGUAAUUCUAAAAAUUAAAAACUAAUUUUUAGUGUUUUAUAAAUUUUUUUUGUAAUUACUUUUGGCAAAAUCAUCUCAUCGUACAAUAGAUUUUGUAAAAGUAGGGAAUGAAAAGUUUUUUUAAAUCUAAUUUUGAGAAUCACUUUUAUAUUUAAUCAAAUUCUAUAUAGAUAUCCUCAUUAUAUAAUAAAAAUCUAAAAUUAUCUUUAUUAAUUAAGAAAUAAAAUCAUUAACUUUAAAGAUAUUGUUAUUAUUACCAAUUAUAUUGAGAUAACAAAAUAGAGAAUAAAAUUUAAUAAUAUAAAAUAUUUAUUUUAGUUAUCAAUAAUUAUAUGUAAGUAAUAAAAAUAUUUUAUAUACAUGUUUGUAAAUGUGUAAAUACAAUUCAGUCAUUUACAUUAUUGUAUCAGUUUAACAAUAAAAUUUAUGAAACACAUACGAUAGCUUUUAAAACUAAAAGUACUUUUAAAAAUAAAUUUUACUAAAUGUUUAGCUGAUUCUCUUCACAAUUGAUCAAUUUCUACAACAUAACGAACUGUAAUUAUUUUAAAAGGUACAGGAUUACCAAACUGACCCUAAACCAAACCAAGAAAAAUGUUUAAAAGUAAUAAUAAUAAACCAAAGUAAACGUACAAAAAUUCAUGCAUAAAUUGAUAAUCAACAAAAACAUCCAAAAGUUUUACUCCAAGUUUUCUAUUCAAUUGACAUAACACUUAAAUUUGAAAAGGCAUAAUCAAUUUUGUGUCUAAUCCUAUAAAAUUAGAAAAUUAAAGAAUAUUAUAUUCUUAUAAUUAAAUAAUAUGCAAUUAAUAAUGUUAAAACAUAUUGUGAACUAAAAUGAUUGGGAGAAUUGGAGUUCUAAGAUAAAUUCCUAUCUAAUCCCAAAUCAACAAUUGUGAUUAAUUUCAAUCUUAUACUCCGAUUGCUUUUAAAAUUGGUCCUAAUAAUAUGGACAAAUAUCAUUCUGAUCAGUAUGGAAUCCCAAUCCCAUACCUUUGGAUUUCAAUGGUGUUUAGUUGGAGGGAGGAGAGGGGAAGAAAAUGAAUUCAAAUUCCUUUCACUUUUCUGUUGUUUGGUUUUCACAAAUAUAUGGGAAUUCAAUUUUUAUUGAAAUUUAAUUUUCGUCAAAUUGUGCAUUUUGGAUUCCUCACCGAAGGCUGUAAAAUUCAAAUUCUCCUCCUAUUAGAAAUCAAAUCUUCCAAAAUUGCUCCUCUCAAAUAUUUAUCAAUUAUUUUAAUUCUUAUCAAAUAAUUCUUAUUUAUGAUUUUAUUUUUUCAAUUUAAAUUGUCACCAAGGAGUCUGACUUACUACCAUAGAAAAGCAAAAAAUACAAUUUAUAGAUUAUGAUAAUUCUAUGUAUUGUAUGAGAAUUGCAAUCCAAAAAUUUUCCCUAGAAAACGAAUUUUAAUCGACAGCAAAUCAAUGCUUUCAAAUUUAGUCAGCUGAACUAAUUUUUGUUUUUUUUUGGAUUAAUUUUGAAAUGUUGCAUCCAUAACGAGCUGCUAUUGAAAUUAAUGUUAACAACAAAAAUAGAUGCAAAAGGAGAAACAAGCAUCAUGUGCAGUACCCACUGUGAUCUACUCACAUUGGAAUAAGCCGUUGGCAGCUGGUCUGUUUGGCCAUUAAUAUCUAUUUAUAACUAGGUUUUUUUUUUUUUUUUUGAGAAGAUUUAUAACUGGAAAUUACUCACCGUAAAAUGAUGAAAUGCUUUGAAUAUACCUCCUAGGUCGUAUUUACUAUACUAGUUAGGAAAAAUUACAAUGUUAAAUUAUUUGAUAAAUACUUAUUAUAAUUUGAAAAAUAUGUUAAUUUUGUCCUCCACUGUAUGAUUAAUAAUUUAUAAUAUAUAUAUAUAUAUAUAAUUCAUUCUAUAAUCUUGAACUUUAUUAAAGAUAAAAAAACUAUUACUCUAUAUGAUAUAAUAGUGUGAUGUAAUUACACUACUAUACCAUAUAAAAUAUAUUUACUUUCUUAAAUUUUAAUAAAGUCCAGGUUUUAGGGAGAACCACUUUAUAUAUAUGUAUAUAUAACGAUUCUCUAGUAACGACAUUUUCAUUUUAACAAAAUAAUAAUAUCACUAACAAACUAAAUGACACACAUUUUAAUACAUCAAUAGAUAAAAAAAAUACAGUUUUAUUGUGUUAAAAUAUAUGUCUUUUGUAUAUUAUUGAUAUUUUCACUUUAACAAGUGAAGGUCUCCUCACUAUAGAAGUACUUUAUAAAUAUUUUUUGUAUUUUUAUGAAAAUUAUUAUUUAAAACUGUUUUGUGUAUCUUCGACACAAUAAGGCUUAGCAUUUAAAAGUCAGCAGCCACGCAACUUCUUGAAAUCUUCGUGCAAGUGUUGGAUAUCGACUGUUCGAUAAUGAUGGCAGCAUUGGACUGGACUGUAAUUGACACAAUAAAAUUAGGAUCACAAAUAAGGAUGAAACUAUGUUGCAACAAUUGUAGCAUGCCACUAGAUUUUAUCUUUUUUUUUAAUUAAUUACACUGCACUACCUUAUAUUUUAUGAAAAAAUUGAAUAGACAUUAAAAGUUACAAAAUUUUAUAUAUAAAUCCCUUUUUUUGGGAUAAAAUGGCUUUUCAAAAACAUUUGACUGUUAUUAUUAGUAUUAUUUAUUAAUAUCAUUAUUAUUAUAUUAAUAAGAAUAAUAAUAAUAAUAAUAUUAUCAAAAUUUAUUAUUUUAAUUAUUAUGAUUAUUUUUAAUUAAGUCAUUAUUAUUAUUUAUUAAUUUUAUUACUGUCAUUAAUAUUAAUUUUAUUACUAUUGUUAAAAUAUAUUAAUUUUAUUAUUUUAAUUAAUGUUAAUUAUUGUUAUUAUUAUUUUAUUAAUAUUAAUAUCAUUAAAAUUUAUUUGUUUUAUUAUUUUAAUUGUUAUGUUAUUAUUAAUGUCAUCAACAUCAUCAUCAUCAUCUUUAAACUUUAUAGAUUUUUUUGUUUAAAGUAAUACUAUUGUUAUUAUUAUUAUUUUACCUUAAUUGAACAUUAAAUAUAUUUUUAUUUUUAUUAUAAUAAAUAAAAAUAUAAAAUAAAUUAUACUAUCAUAUUAUUUUAUUAUAUCAUAUUAUAUUUAUAUAAAAUAAUUAAUAUAAAAAUAAUAAUUUAAUAUAAUUAAUAAUAAAUUUAAAUAAUGUUAGUAUAAUAUUAAUAUAAAAUUAAUGCAGUACAAUGUAAUACCAAUUACCAAAUGUUGUACAAAUAUUAUUAUAAUUUAUUACUAAUGUAAUAUAACAUAAUACAAUAUACCUUUAUUGAAUAAUGAAAUACAGUAUAGUAUAAUACAAUAUGUGAAAUGGACCCUUAAUUCUUUGAGUGAUGAUAGUUUAAAGGGAUGUAGAGAAAGUAAAAAUAAUCAUGGUAGAGUCUUUUGCAGUGGUUGAUUAGCCAUCAUCAAAAAAUUUAAGGUAACAUAAUAAAAAUUAAGCAAUCACCCUACAUUUAAAAGAGUAAUUAGAAACCAAUAAAUUUACUAUUCAAUUAUUUUUAAUCAAGAAUAAAUAAUAAAUUAUCAUUACAGCAAGAUUCACAAGCUCAAAUAUCUAUAAAAAAAAGUUAUAAUUCUCAAGAAACAUAAAACUCAAAUGCUUUUGAAGUAUUCUUAAAAAAAUUAAACUAACUUCCUUUUAUGCUAUUCUUUAUUUAUAUGACUUUGUUGGGCUACAUUUAAAAUUUUAAAAAAUUAAAAUGGUUUCCUUAAAUUUCAAGAGUAAUAUUAGUAUUUUAUAGGUAAAUUAACAUAUUUUAUAUACAAAUAAACUAACAUGUCAACUAAUAUUAAAAACAAAAAUGUAAUAAAAAAGUAAAGUUUUGUAAUAUUAAAAUAAUAAAAUUUUAGAACCUAAUACUUUUUACAGUUCCUUAUUUUGAAAUUUCACCUUUUUUAUUUUAUAAUUUUUUGAAGUAUUACAAGGUUAAUAACCUAUAUUCUUUACACAUAUUUAGUUUAUUUAUUCUAUAUUAAAUAUAAUGGGUCCGCCUACCUUGCAACAGUUGCACGGUACCCCAAAUUUUAUAUUUUUCUAAUUCAGCUGAUGAAUCUAAUAUCUAAAGUGUUCAACGGUCAAGGCCGGCUCAACCAUAUUUGGGGCCCUAGGCAAAUGAUUUUAAUUAAUUCUUAUAAAAAAUUAGGGUAAUCUAUGAAAUUUUAAUUCAAUUAUAACAUUUUUACUUAUUGUUCUUUAACUCAAAUUACAUCUUUUUUACUACUCCUUUUCUAGAUUAAACUAAUUUUUCUAUUUUAUAAAGUUUUUCGAUAUAGUUUUAUUUCAAAAUAGAUAAAACAAGCAUACAAAAAAAAAGAGUAGAUGAAUAAAAGAAUAUAUUGAAAAAAAUAAGAAUAAAUAAAUAAAUAACACAACUAAUUAAGAGAAUAAUAAAAAGAUAAAAUCUGGAAUUUGAGAUGAAAUCAUGAAUUAACUUUAUCUUUAUAUUAAUUGUUUGUGGAUUUGAGUAAUGACCAAUAGCCAUAGAGAAUAGAGAAAAUUAUUAGAUUUUUUUCUUCUUCUUGAGUGGAAAGUAGAGGAAGCAUGAUUUUUUCCCUCUCUCUCUUUCUUUCUCUCAAACACUAACAACAUAUCGUGUCUUGAUUAUUGGAGGAAAAAUUUAAUAGAUAAGUAAUAAAAUAUGGGGUUUUUAUAGAGGUUUAAAAUGAAUAUAAUACUUUUUAAUUAUAACAUAUUAAUUCUAACAAUUAAAUAGAGAAUUUGUAGGAUUGAAACUAUUAAUUUAUUGGUUUUGUAGGAAUUAAAACUACUAAGUACUACAUUAAAUAAACUUUAUAGAAAUUUGAUAGUUUAUUUAGGAAAAAGAUAAUUACAAAAUAAUAACAAAUUAAAUGCAUAAUAAUGACUUUUAAAUUCACUUUUCCCUUUUAUAUACAAAAUAAUCAUCUUACGGGGCCUUAAUGUAAAGUGGGGCUCCAGACAACCGCUUAAGUUGCCUAGAGGUCGAGCUGCUACUGUCAACGGUUGAGAUGUGUUCAAUUGGUUAUUAACACUUAAGUCUCUACUGUUUAUUAUAAUAUCAUAAAAACAAAAUUUUUAAAAUAUUUAUUUAUAUAACUCCUAUUGUUUUAAGUUUUUUAAAGUUUGAUCCAUUAGCCAAGCUUGAUCAUAAAAAUGAUUGAUGGUGUAAAGAUAAUAAUGUAAUAUCACAUAAAAUUUUUUUUAAACACAUGAAAAAUUGAUAAAUGUAAAUAUUGUUUUUUUUGGUUAUAUAAUAUAUUAACUUUAUUAUUUUAAUUAAUGUUAAUUAUUGUUUUUAUUAUUUUAUUAAUAAUAAUAACAACUAAUUUGUAUUUUACUUUUAAGGUUGAUUUGAUAAAUUUAAAUUUUUCUUUACAUUAACAUAUCUAAGAAUAUUGUUGCAAGCAUGUUAUUAUAAAAUCAAAGAAAAAUUAAGGGUAGGAUUAUAUUGUGCUUACCGACAAAGGUGUCUUGAGGGACUAAACGGUACUUCAUUCAAAAUAUAGAGACUGAACAAAUAUUUAUCAUUAUUUAAGCUGAAAUAGUGCAUUUUAACUAGUCCCGGGUUUGAUUCAUUGUAAAUAUCAUUUUCCUUCAUGAAAUACCUAUAGAGAAUCAUAAAUUUUGGAGAAAAGGACGUUACACCUAAGUUUUGGGAAAUAGUCAUGUAGACCCCUAAAUUUUUAAUAAGGAAUACGAAUACCUCUUUUGACUAUAAUACAUUUUGACUCUAUUAACUCAAAAAAUUGACUCCUAUGUUUUAUAAUAAAUAGAAAUAUAAUAUUGAAAUAAACAUAAAAUAUUAACAUUUUAAAACAACUUCAAUUUAGGAAAAUAUUUAUAUACUUAAGAAUCUUAUAUUAUAUUAGACUAAAUUUUAUAAUAAAUAAGAACAUAAUAUUAAAAUAAAUUUUAUAAAUUUUUUCAAUAUUAUAUAAAAUAAUUUCAAUAUUAUUACUACAUGAGAUAUAUUUUAUUAAUGAGAUGUGUUUUAUUAAUUUUAAAUUCUAUUUAACCCCAAUGAUUUAUUUGAUAUUUUUAUGAUAAAUAAAAUAUAUUAUUAAAAUAAAUAUAAUGUUUUUAUUUAAAAAAUAUUUUAUAUAUUAAAAAUAUUCUAAUAUUAUUAGUCUAUUAGACAGAUUAAACUAUUUAAGUUAUAUUUAUAUUUAUUAAAAAAUUCUUAAAGUCAUUUUUUUAUUUACUAUGUACAAAAAGUAUUAUAGUCAAAAAGAUAUUUUGGUUACUGAAAAUUGAAAGAUUUACGUGACCAUUUCUUUAAAUCUUGGAGUAUAGGUGUCUUUUCCUAUAGAUAUUAGAAUAAGGGCUACAUGUCUAUAUGUAAAUAGCAAGUAGUGGCGGACCUACAGUUGGACUAGACUGGGUUGUAGCUUGGUCUAGUACAGAAAAAAUCAUUUAUACACCUUGUUUUCUUAUAAUUUUUUUAUAAAAAAGAGUUUUUAUUUUGUUUUCAUAUAUGUCCCUAACUCAAGUAUCCUUAUGUUUUCAUCAAUUUAGUUUAACAAUAGAGUUUUUACUUUAUAUUCAAAUAUUUUCCUAACUCAAUUACCCUUAUAUUUUCAUCAAUUUAGUAUAACAAUUGAGCUAUUAUUUUAUAUUCAAAUAUAUCCCUAAUUCAAUUGUAUUGUUUCCAAUUGAAAUUAGUGACUUAUUUUAUAAAUUGAUUAAAUUAUAUACUCAUUGGAUAGAUUGAAAACAUUAGGGAGCUAAAGUAUUAUUAUCAAUUUAAUUUAUUUUAAAAAAUUUCUAAUUGAAAAAAAUAUAAAUCAAUGUAAUAUAACAUCGUCACUAGCAUUAAAAAUACUUACGAAAACAAUAUAUAGUAACAAUUAUCAACAUUUUCAUAAACAUUUUAUGUGAUUUUUUAGAUUCUAUUUAUUAGUUACAUUAACUACGACAAGAAGUUAGAAUAUAAAAUUUAGGUAUUUUGAGGAGCUUUAAUAGAAGAAUCAUCAACAUCUACUUCUAUAAAGAAAGUCAGUGCACUGGCAAUGAAACAACGAUAUCCAAAUAACUUUUUGUUGAAUUGAGUUUAGUUUAUUACUAAAACUUUUGACUAAUAAUACUUUUAUAAUUCGAAAGAAUGAAUGAAUUUUAAUUUUUAAAUUUAUUUAAACUUGGUAAUUUAAUACUUGACUUCAAACAUAAAAGUUUUACUUGUAAUCUUUAAUUAAUUUUAAUUACAUGUACUGAUCUAAUUUAGUUUGAAAUUCUUAAUUGAUUUAUUAAUCCUUAUAUAAUUACAUGUUAUUAUAGUUGCAAUGUCGGAUUCCAUAAUUGAAAAAUAGUGUUUUGAUAUUUGAAUUGCCUUUUGGUUUCUAUUCUUUUCUUAUAAUUAUUUUUGUUUAUAAUACAUAUUCAUAGGGAUAUAGCUCUCCAUGUCUCCCCUCAUUUAAUAUACUUCUUUUUACUUAUAAAUUUUUAUGUUCACUUCAAAAUAUAAAUUUUAAAAUUUAACCCAAAAUAAUAUUAAGUCCUGAAUCCGCACAUAUAGCAAGUUAAGUCACAUCCUUUUAUCUUUUUAUUUUCAUUUUAUAAAUAAAUAAAUAAAUAAUGCAUAUUGAAUUAGGAUCACGCGUCUGAAAUCUUUACGUGAAGAUUUUGUUAAACACCGUGUAAAAAAAUAAUAUGAAUAGUGAAAGCUUAAUAGUAAAAAAAUAAUAUGAAUAGUGCAUUGCGAUCUAUCAAUCGCAAUGCACCGAUGAUUGCAACAAUUAAAAAUCUUGAAAUAUGAUUAUUAUACAAAACGAAAAUGUACAACCACUCAUGAAUUAGAGUUAUUUUUUUUUAGAGAAGAUAAUUCGGGUUUUUAAGAUAGGUUCUUUUUUUAAAAAAAUUAUUAUCCUGAGGAUAUUUGAAUAAUAAUUUUUUAAAUUAAAAAAAUAAAUUUUAAAUAUAUUUUUGUGAGUUUAAAUAACCUCAUUCCCAGCAUAACUACAUGAGCUACGUAGUGCUUAUUUAUUGACAUUAAUAAACUGCAUCAAUUUAUACAAAAUACUGUUUUUCUUCUUCGUUUUUCUUUUUGACAUGUUGUGCUAAUGCUGUUUGUUGGCCUAGAUGGCGAAUAAAAAAUAUGAUAAUAUAUGCUAUCUACAAGCUUAAUUAUGAACGAACAGUUAAUAAUUACCCCAAAGUUCAUAUUUUAUAAUAGGUGUAGAAUCUUUUCACUCUAAUAAGUUUAUCUUCAAUUAUUUAUCACUAGUUUAGUUAAAUAAUGCACGUCAAUGUUGAAUUGACAUCCGCGAAUAUCACCUUUGCACUUUUAAAUCAAAUAAUCAAUGGCCAUCAAAUGAAGCGAAAUAAAUGGUUAAACUAAUUUAUGUUAAAACAAAUUAUUGUUGAAUAGAGUAGUGAUAGAUGAUAUCCCAAAUUUUUGGGUUCCUAAGGAAUAAUCAUUGUCAAAUUAUUAAACCGAACCUUACAUUCAGGAAUGAUAAAGAUUGAAGACCAAUAUCUGCAACAUUAACUCUUGUCAUACAUAAGCAAGAACAAAAAAAAUAAAAAAUCAUUGAAUUAUAUUAAUACAUGAAACAGAAAGGCCAAAAAUUAAACCCAAAUGAAUAUACAGUGAAAGGAAAUCGCAGUUGUAAUGUAACGCAUAUUCACAAAAGCUUUGUUGAUGAAGUCUAGUACUCUAAUGAUACUUUAUAAUGUGGGGGCAGAGCAGUAAAUUUCAAAGAAAUAAUUUUCUCUUUUGAUGUUUUGUCGUUAUUGUUGACUGAGACGAGAAAGAAAUAAUUGCUCGUUUGGAUAUUCUCUAUAUUGUAAAAGAAUUGCUUAUUAGAAUUGCUUAUUAGAAUUGCUUCAAAGCAGUUUUACCAGUUAUAAUUCAUCAGCUCCUACUCUUUGCGUUCAAUUCUCAAUCAAGAAACCCUCUCCUGACUUUCAGCUUUUAACCUCGAACACGCUCUGAUUCUGUUUAUUGUACCCACUGCUAUUGCUAGCUGUUCCCUUAUUUUGCUUUGCUCCCUUCUGCCAUCAGCUCUCUGUAUACUCAUUGGAUCAAGAAGCCCUUUUCAAUUUUCUGAUCUCAACAACACUUUGAUUCUCAUCUAUUACACUGAUUUUUUUUCCUUGUUUUGCUCAAAUACAAUUUCUCUCCCUAAUUUUGUCCCGUUCCCUUUCGCCGCCAUCUGUUUGUUCUUCGCUUCUUCAUUGAUUAACAAUUGUCCAGUCGUUUCACCUGUUCUUUUUCUGUUCCUUUCACUUCAGAUCAAUCCAUCCUCGCACAACCCCCCCCCCCCCCCCCAAAAAAAAAAAAGAAAAAAGAAAAAAGAUUGAAGGUGAUGGAAUGCAUUGUUACUGUCGUUUUAGAGGUUGUAAAAUGCUUGGCUCCUCCAACACAACAACAACUUCGUUAUUUGCGUAGUUCCAAUGCCAACUUUGAGAAUCUCAAGGCUGAAAUCGAGAAUCUUAAGGAUAAAAUUAGGAGCAUUCAGCGCAGAGUCUCAGAGGCUGAAAGAAAAGGAGAAAAGAUUGAAGAGGAGCUUGAGAAAUGGCUGGUUAAUGCGAAUAAGAUCAUUGAGCAUGCAGACAAAUUCAUUGACGACGAGGAGGCAACAAAUAAGCGAUGUCUCAAGGGUCUGUGUCCUAAUCUGAAGACCCGCCAUCAGCUUAGCAAGAAAGCAGAGGCAGAGGUGAAGGCAAUUGUCAAAAUCCGAGAAGAAGCUGGGAGAUUUGACGAUAGAAUUUCCUACCGUACGAUUCCGGAGGAGAUAUGGCUCAAGUCUCACAAAGGCUACGAGGCCUUCGAGUCAAGACUUUCUACCUUGAAGGCCAUACAAAAUGCAUUGAUCGAUGUUAAUGUUAGUGUCGUUGGGGUGUACGGCAUGGGCGGCAUUGGAAAGACGACACUGGUGAAGAAGGUCGCCAGGCAAGCUAUGGAAGAUAAACUCUUUGAUAUGGUGGUCUUUUCAGAGGUUUCGCAAACUCCAGACAUAAAAAAGAUUCAACAGGAAAUUGCCGAGAAGUUGGGCCUGGAGUUGCACGAGGAAGUUGAAUCUGGAAGAGCAAGUAGACUAUUUGAGCUAUUGAGAAAUCACAAGAAGAUCCUUGUCGUUUUAGAUAACAUUUGGAAACACCUUGAUUUGGAGACAGUUGGAAUUCCUUUUGGAGAAGAUCAUAAAGGCUGCAAACUACUGCUGACGGCAAGAGAUCGUAGUGUCCUCUUAAAAAUGGGUUCUAAAGACAACUUUUUGAUAAACAAUUUAAAUGAAGAAGAAGCCUGGAGAUUGUUUAAGAUGAUGGCCGGUGAUGAUGUUGAAAAUCGUGAGUUGAAAUCUACAGCAAUAGACGUCGCCAGGGCAUGUGGAGGUUUGCCCAUUGCCUUGACUACAGUAGCAAAGGCACUGAGAGGCAAGAGUCUGUAUGAAUGGAAGAAUUCCUUGCGAGAACUCCAAACGCCUUCAAUGGUAAACUUCGAAGGGGUAUCUGCAGAGACUUAUUCAAGUAUUGAGCUCAGUUUCAACCAUUUAAAAGGUGAGCAGCUCAAGAAAAUUUUUCUGCUCUGUAGUCUAAUGGAGAGCCAUAUUACUUUGGACUUGUUUAAGUACUCCAUGGGUUUGGGUAUAUUUAAAGGAGUCAAUAAGAUGGAAGAUGCACGAGACAAAUUAUAUGCAUUGGUCCAUGAACUUAGAGACUCUUGUUUGUUGCUUGAGGAUGAUAGCAAUGAACGAUUUUCAAUGCAUGAUGUUGUUUGUGAUGUCGCAAUAUCAAUUGCAUGCCGCCACCAACAUGUGUUUUUGGUGAGAAAUGAUGAGGAUGUGUGGGACUGGCCAGAUGAGGAUGCACUUCGAAAAUGCAAUGCUAUCUCUUUAAUAAAAAAUAGUAAUUGUGAAUUUCCUGAAGGAUUAGAAUGCCCAAACCUUGAACUUUUAUAUAUUUCUCUCAAAGAUUCUUCUCUUGAAAUCAAUAUUCCUGAGAACUUUUUUGUAGGGAUGAAAAAGCUUAGAGUUCUAGAUUUUACUCGAAAGCUGUUUUCUUCAUUUCCAUCUUCAAUUGAUCUUCUAGUAAAUCUUCACACACUAUGUCUGGAUCAAAGUGCGUUGGGGGACAUAGCAAUCAUUGGGAAGUUGAAGAAUCUAGAAGUCCUUAGCUUUUUGAUGUCUGAUAUUAUGCAGUUGCCAGAAGAACUAGGUCAAUUGAAUAAGUUGAGAUUGUUAGAUUUAACCAAUUGUUUCCAUCUAAAAGUUAUUGCGCCCAAUCUCAUAUCAAGCUUAACUCGAUUAGAAGAUCUGUAUAUGGGUAAUUGCUCCAUUGAAUGGGAGGUUGAAAGAGCCAACAGCAAAAGAAGUAAUGCUAGCCUUGACGAAUUGAUGCAUUUACCUCGGCUAACCACUCUAGAAAUUGACGUUAAAAAUGACAGUAUGUUACCAGAAGGUUUUUUGGCCAGAAAGCUCGAAAGGUUCAAAAUAUCUAUUGGAAAUGAGUCAUUCAUGCCUCCCAAGAGUGUUAGACAAGCUUGGUUUAAAAGUCGGCCGCGCUUUUCGAUCCACAGUUAUCGCAAGAGUGUAAGAGCAUUGAAGCUCAAGCUUGAUUUUAUGGACAUUUGCUCCAUGAAAUUGCAGGGCAUCAAUAACGUUGAAUACUUAUGGUUGGACAAGCUGCAAGGCACUGAGAAUGUUCUUUUCAAUUUGGACACGGAGAGCUUUUCACAAUUGAAGCUUCUCUGGGUUCAAAAUAAUCCUGACUUCUUUUGCAUCGCCGAUUCAAGGGCGAUGGUCGCUUGUGAUGCCUAUAGCUUAUUUUUAACUUUGAAAAAUAUGACAAAGCAUCGAUAAAUUAAUACUCAAUAAAUUAAAAACUUUUAUUAUACAAUAAUCUUUGCUAGUCUAGACUAAGGGAUCAAUGUGGUAGAUUAAUAAUUAUAUGAACUGUUUUAGGUAUAGCAUUUCUAAAAGAAUCCUUAGUCUUUCCAUAUAAAAGAACUUACAAAAUAAAUUAGUAAUUUAUUAUUGUGCAAUAAAAUAAUUUCGUUUUUUUCCCUAAUUUCUUUUUUACCUCUAAAAUUAGCAUAUAAAAAAUCAUUUAAUAAAUUUUAUCAAUAAUUCAAUUUUUUUUUUAAAAUAUAAUAUAAAAUAAAUACUAUAAAAUCACUGUGUGUGACCAUAGAUCAUCAAUUGACCUUAUUAGUUAUUUUGAUUGAUGAUGAUAUCUUACCCAACUUGACGGCACUAUCACUAAGUGGAAAAGAUGUGAAGAUGAUUUUGCAGGCCGAUUUCCCACAACACCUUUUUGGCAGUCUUAAACAACUAGAGAUUGUUGGAGAUGACUCAGCUUGUUUUCCAAUCUGGAACGUACUGGAGAGAUUUCACAAUCUCGAAAUACUCAUACCGUUUUUGCAUUCCACGAAGAGGUAUUUUGGAUGGAAGGAUGCUUAGAGAAACAUGUGGGGAAGUUGGCAAUGAUAAAAGAAUUAAAGCUGCACCGGCACUAUCAUCUGAUGCAGCUGUGCAAACAAGACUCCAAACUUGGCCCCAUUUUUCAGUAUCUUGAAAUUCUAAAAGUAUAUAAUUGUCAAAGUCUGUUAAUUCUAUUGCCAUCAUCAUCGGUAUCUUUUGGGAACCUAACAAAACUUGUAGCUUUCGAUUGCAAGAAAUUGAUACACUUAGUAACAUCCUCCACAGCAAAAACUCUGGUGCGACUCGUAACAGUUCAAGUAUAUGGAUGCAGAGCAAUGACAGAGGUGGUAAUAAAUGACAAAGACGGGGUUGAAAAAGAAGAGAUUGUUUUCCGCAAAUUGAAGACGUUGGAUCUGCGUGAUUUAGAUAGCCUCACAAGUUUCUGCUCUGCCAAUUACACCUUCAAAUUCCCAUCUUUGCAAGAUUUGUGGGUGAUUGGUUGUCCCAAGAUGAAGAUUUUCACUACAGGAGAAUCAAUCACGCCUCCAAGAGUAAAUGUCCGGUAUGGAGAGACAGCGGAUCAACGGCGCUGGGCUAAUAAUGAUCUAAACUCAACCAUACAACAAUUACAUGCUGAGAAGGUACGUAUAUACAUGUAUAUACAUCUUUACAAAAUUUGCUUUCUUAAAUACAAUAUAGAUAAGAUAUUUGAUGAAUAAGAAUUUUACUUUCAGCUGUUGGCGGUGCAGUCGGCGAUCUCUACCCAGUACUAAUUUCAUAGGCUUCUUAUGACUUGGGAGUUGUGAAUUUUUAGAAGAAAGCCUCAGCUGGUAAUUAAUUUUUAUUUCAUUUAUUUGAUCUCAUGGCUUGUUUCGCAAUUUCAUCUGAAUUAUUUAGAAUGGGUCAAUCGGCUUACUGUUAAAUUUGGAAUGCAAUUUUAAUGAUUCGUUCAGACUUUUGUGGACAGAUUUUGCAUCAUUGAAUGUCUUCUAGUCUAGUUUAAUUUGAGUAUUUUUUUUCUUUUUUUCUUUUUUUGAGAGUUCCCCUUGUUUUCUAAAAUUUUAUAAUUCCUUGCAUACUUUGUAUGAUAAAAUUUCAUUAAAAGCCUUCAUAUUUUAUAAUUCCUUGAAAACAUCAUUGCUGUUCUGUUAUUUUAGUUUGUUCAUUUAGUUUGGUUUGCUUCACACCUAUCUUUGUUUGGAAACUUUUUUUUAUUUUUUUGAUGAUCUUUCCAAAUGCUCUCCCCUAUGAACACAUAAUUAAGACCAGCUGAAAAUCAUUCAUCGGAUAAAAAAUAAAAAAUAAACAAAAUCUAAUCAGAGCAUUAUGCCUAGAACAAAUCCUUAGACCAUCAAAGCAAAACUCUUCGCUAUGAAAAACUAUAUUGUGGAAAUAUUGUUUGAAAACGUUGGAUACCAAGAAAGGGACUAAUCUGGUCUAGUUUUAUGAGAAGUGCAGAAGAACAGUAUUUUCUCUGUUGUUCCUAUUAAAAUUCUUUACUAUGUGAUUGUAGAAUGUCUGGAUACUGAUGAAGAUUCAGGUAACUCUUCUCCUGUGCAUCAUUUGAAAUAAGUUUUUUUUUUUUUUUUGGUAAUAUCUCCUACUGGGUUAUAGUUCAUACAAAGAGAAAUUCUUAAAUCAAGCCGGAUACUGGUAGAAACAAGUGGGGAAGUAGGCACUGAUAAAAUGGUUAAUCCUGUCCAGACUUAAUCAUUGAAGCAACUCCAAACUGGACUCCAUUUUAAAUAUCUUGACAUUCUAAGACUAUUUUACAAGCAUUUAAGUCUAUUCACAUGAUCAUCUAUAUCUUUUGGGAAUCUAAAAGAACUGUUGGUUUUCCAUUGCAAGGAAUUGUAACAUCCGUCCACUACAGCAGAAAGUCUAGUGCGACUCGUAUCAAUGAAGGUAGCUGGAUGCAGGGCAAUGACAGAGGUGGUAAUAGGUGACGGAGAAGAAGACGGAGCACCAAAUUUAAAUUCAAAACAAGAGAUUGUUUUCAGCAAAUUGAAGACAUCGAGUCUGUGUGAUUUAGAUAGUCUCACAAGUUUCUGCUCUGCCAAUUACGCUUUCAGAUAAAGAUUCUUGAAAUUGUCCUAUUUACAGCUGACAUUUCCACAAGAGUUAGAGAAAUAUAAAAAAUUCAUUAAUCGUUAGUUUUUAAUUUCAUUAUUCAAUGAAAAGUCCUGUCAAAUUAAAUUGCAAAUCUCAAUGUGCAAGUACCUAAAUUUACAAAAUUUACUUUAAAUUAAUGAAUGAAAGAAUUUAUUUUCUGCUGUUGGAGGAGUCGUCAUCUCUCUCGACAUAGUAUACGAUAUGUUUUGAUCCCAUAGGCUUUUUAAUAUAUUACCUUGUGUUGUUUGAUCUCUAGGUUUAUUUGCAAUGCGUCAGUUGGUUUAUUUGUUAAUUUUGGAAUGAAGUUGAUGCAGCUGAUGGUUGCAUAGGAUGAGUAGGAUAUCACUCCUAGAUCAUAACUUGAUCUAACAAUAUUGUGUAGGUCUUUUGUGACUCCAACAAUAAAAAAACUCAAUAUUUUUUUUAUAGAGCAAUAUUUGUUAAAGCAUGAAGAAAGGCAGAAAUAUUGUAAAUCCAUCUCAACUUUUCUGUUUAUUGUGGUCGCUGCUAGCGCUGGCUGUUUUCUUAUUUAACUUUGUUCCCUUUUGCCAUCAGCUCUUUGCAUUUUCAUUGGAUCAAGCGACCCUUUUCUUGCUUCAAUUUCUGAUCUCAAAAGCACUUUGAUUCUCUUCUAUAAUUCUGUUACACUGAUUUUCUCCUUAUUUUGUACAAAUAUCAUUUCUCUUUCCCAUUUAGCCUUGAUUUGCUUCAACUUGACUAUCAAUUGCCAAGUUGACCCUGUUGUAUUUUUAUUUUGUUCACUUCAAAUAGACCCAAAAAAAAAAAGAGAUGUUGAAUAAAGCCUAAAAUCUAAUUUGAUUUUUAAUCUGAUUUAGCUAAGAUGUCCAAUUUAAUAUUAAUAGCAAUGUUAAGGAUUCUAAUAAUUGGGUCCCAACUGAUAUGAUAGUCAUUUAUUAGAUGAUCGAAAUAUUAAUUUUACUAAUUAUGAAAUUCAUUAUCUAAUAAAAAAUGACACAUAACAAUUGGGUCUCAAGUUAGAAUUCAAAUAUUGGAAUUCUUAACAUUAUUUUAAUAUUAAAAAAUUCAUCAAAAUAAUAUAUAUUAUCUAAAAAAAAUAAAAAAUCUAAAACCAUAGAUUUACCCUUCAAUCUUCGUGAUUUGGCUGAUUUCUUUUAAAGCUUUGGUUUCUUUGGAAGUGCAACGAGAAAUAGUAAUAAGAUUAAAAAAGCAAUGAAGUAAAACUUUAAAAUUUUUAUUUUUUUAUAUUUUUAUGGGUCAUUUUACCGGCACUGGCGUUUGAUUUUCUGACUAAGCUACUGUUUAGUUCUAAGUUUUCAAUUACCCGGACUGCUCUGUUUUGUGUAUCAUCGACACAAUAAGGCUUAGCAUUUAAAAGUCGGCAGCCACGCAACUUCUUGGAAUCUUUGUGCAAGUGUUGGAUAUCGACUGUUCGAUAAUGAUGGCAGCAUUUGACUGGAGUGUAAUUGACGCAGUGGAAUAAGGAUCACAUGUCUCAAACUUUUGGUGAAGAUAUUGUCAGAUAUUUUAUUGAUUAAAGGAUCACAAAUAAUGGAUAUUGGAUGAGAAUCACAUGUUUUAUGGGAUUUACUAUGUUGCAACAGUGAUACCAUACCACUGUUUUUGUCAUUAUUCAUUGCGGCCGUUGGAUGGUAACUUAUUUAAUCUAAUGGUUUAAAUUAGUUAAUGGAGAAAUGACGCGGCAACUUACAACCCUUGCAGCCGGUUCUGUAUUGAUCUAAUAGCAUGGAGUAGUAAGCGUGCGUUUCAAAGAUGCUAAGAUACACUAAAUCCCACUAUUUCCAUACUCAUAAUCACAAGCUUACCUCAAAAAAUGAAGGGAGAAUACGAUGAAGAAGAAGAUGGCCAGUGUUUUACGCCGUUCGCCGGCAACCAGUUAGGUUUACGAUGGUGGCUAGUAACACGGAGUCCAGCGAAUAGUAGCAUACCGAACGGCUCUUUACCGUCACGUGGUUAGUAACAUAUGUGACCGCAGUGUGGCCGUCACAUAAAAGGUAUUGGGGUUACAAAGUUAGUGAUAUACGUAAUGGCUGCUUUUGCAUUCACAUUAGGGGUCACAUAUACCCUAUUUUUCUUGUAGUACAUGGUAAAUUCUAUUUGAAAAUUGCUAAGUAUUUUAGAUUUGUACAAAUUCAUUUUUGUGUGCUGGUGCCUGGUUGGAUAAUAAUAUAUAAUAAAUUAAAUUUUUGGUGUAAUUUUCACAAUAUUGUAUUAUAAAUAUGUAUCGUUGAGAGGUUUUGAAAUCGUUUUGAUUGAUCAUAAUUGAUAUUUCCACAGUUGUAAAAGAUGCCAGAGAAAAUUUGAUUAUCUUAAGAAAUGAGUGCAUGAGAUAUGAAAUCAACCAUACCGUAAAAUCAAAUUUUAUCGUGUCAUCCUUCUUGGUUCAAAUUUAUGGAAACAAUAAUCAAAUGCAUCCAUGAACUAGUAUAUUCCAACAUAUGUACCAUCAAAUUUUUGCUAUGUCAUACUUAUGUAUGUGUGUGUGUGUGUGUGUUUGUGUAUAUUGAAAUUUUAAUAACAACAAUUGGGGCAAGCAUAUGUUGGUACUUGAAGAUUUAUAAGCUCCAUUCUUGAAAAAAUAAGGCUUGACUGUUCUCGAUCUAAUUCUUUUUGUUUUAAGUUCUUAAUUAAGCUUUCUUGCUUGUUUUCAAGAGCCAGUUUUGUAAUGAUCGACAAACAUGAUUUGCAUAUAUUGCACUUGGCAUUUAUGUGUCACUUAUUAACUAGAUUUAAAUUUUAUAAAUUAAUUAAGCUGAUUAAUACUUUAUAUGUGCACUAAAUGAUAAAUACUACAUAAAUUGGGACACUAGUAACUACGUAUCCCAACUAUGUAAUAUUUGUUUGUCACAAAACCAAUCAUGGCCUGAUAUUCUAAAUAUUAUUUAGGAUACCAUUUCAAGUCCCAUGAGGGCUCUUUCCGUUAAAAAAAAAAAGUAUGAAAUAGAUGUAGAUUUUUCUUUAGAUAUUAUUACCUUUGGUGGCAAUGGUACGGGAUGAUUUGGGAUUUGACAAUUCCACUCUCAUCUUAAUUAUCAAAUGGAAUGUAAGUAUGGAUAAACUCGUCCUGUUUAUAUACUUGUGAUUAAAAUUAGGACCAAUCUCAAACCGCUCACAAUCAUGUCCCAUCCUAACUAUCCUGAAUGUCUCGAAUGCCUCCCUUUAUUAUCAUUUUAAUUCUCAUUAACAUAUUAGCAAAAUUUCCAUAUAUUAAAAAUAUUAGGGUCUGACUAUCUAUACUUUAAAAAUUACUAUGAACACUCAAUUAUUUUAUACACUCAUCUAAUAAAUUUAAAAAAUUAAGUUUCAUUUUGUACAUUUUUAAAAGUAACAAAAACAUUUUUACAUGAACCUAAUAAGUUUCUUUAAAAAAAAUUAAAUCAAUUAUUUUUAUUUAUUCAAAAUACUAAUAAAACUAUUCAGCAGACCGUGAAAGAAAAUUUUUAAGAAAUUUAGCACAUAAAACGUUGAAAGUUUCAACUAAAUUCUUUAACACAAUUUUAGAAAUUACUUAUUGUUUAUUAAAGAAUGUGUUCACUAAUGUUUUUAAUUUUGUGCAAUCAAAAAAGAAGAAGAAGAAGUUUGGGGUUAAAGAUACAUUUAAUUUUUAGUGUAAAAGUUGUAUCAAUCCUAUAAAAACUAAAAGAUCCAAAAGUUACAAGUUCCAACAUCACCCAAAUAUUACGAUUGUUUUUGGGAAGGUUAAAAGUGAUUUUAAAAAUUAAAAGCUUAUUUUAGUGUUUUAUAAAUUUUUUUUUAGUAAUUACUUUUGGCAAAAUCAUCUCAUCAUACAGUAGAUUUUGAAAAUUAAGAAAGGGAAUAGUUUUUCAAAAUCUAAUUUUGAGAAUCACUUUUAUACUUAAUCCAAUUCUCUCUCUCUCUCUCUCUCUCUCUCUAUAUAUAUAUAUAUAUAUAUAUAUAUAUAUCCUCAUUAUAUAAUAAAAAUCCAAAAUUACCUUUAUUAAUUAAGAAAUAAAAUCAUUAACUUUAAAGAAAUUAUUAUUACCACCAAUUAUAUUGAGAUAACAAAAUAAAUAAUACAAUUUAAUAAUAUACAAUAUUUAUUUUAGUUAUCAAUAAUUAUAUCUACAUAACAAAAAUAUUUUAUAUACAUGUUUGUAAAUGUGUAAAUAAAUUUUAUUUAGCUUUAUAUCCAAUUUAAUCAUUUACAUUCUUGCACCAGUUUAAUAAUAAGAUUUAUGAAACACAUAUGACUGCUUUUUAAACUAAAAGUACUUUUAAAAAUAAAUUUUACUAAAGGUUCACCUAAUUCUCUUCACGAUUGAUCAAUUUCUACAGCAUAGAUAACUGUAAUUAUUUUAAAAGCCAUAGAUUACCAAUAAAAAUGUCUAAAAGUAACAAUAAUAAACCAAAGUAAACGUACAAAAAUUCAUGCAUAAAUUGAUAAUCAACAAAAACAUCCAAAAGUUUUACUCUAAGUUUUCUAUUCAAUUGACAUAACCCUUAAAUUUCAAAAGGCAUAAUCAAUUUUGUGACUAAUCCUAUAAAAUUAGAAAAUUAAAGAAUAUUAUAUACUGAUAAUUAAAUAAUAUACAAUUAAUAAUGUAAAAAAAAAAUCAUGUUAAACAUAUUGUGAACUAAAAUAAUUGGGAGAAUUGGAGUUCCAAGAUAAAUUCCAAUCUAGUCCCAAAUCAACAAUUGGGAUUAAUUUCAAUCUUAAACUCCGAUUACUUUUAAAAUUGGUCCUAAUAAUAUGGACAAAUCCCAUUCUGAUCAGUAUGGAAUCUCAAUCCCAUAACUUUGGGUUUCGAUGGUGUUUAGUUGGAGGGAGGAGAGAGGAAGGAAAUGAAUUCAAAUUCCUUUCACUUUUCUGUUGUUUGGUUUUCACAAAUAUAUGGGAAUUCAAUUUCUAUUGAAAUUUAGUUUUCAUCAAAUUGUGCAUUUUGGAUUCCUCACCGAAGGCUGUAAAAUUCAAAUUCUCCUCCUAUUAGAAAUCAAAUCUUCCAAAAUUGUUCCUCUCAAAUAUUUAUCAAUUAUUUUUAUUCUUAUCAAACAAUUCUUAUUUAUGAUUUUAUUUUUUCAAUUUAAAUCGUCACUAAGGCGUCUAACUAAGGGCCAGUUUGGGAAUACUAUAACUUUUAAAAUAAUUAUUGUUAGUUGUGCUUUAGAAAUAAUCAGCUGUGAAGAAAAUUAAUUAAGUGUUUGGUAAAUUUUGUUUUAAAAAUACUGUGAGUUUUAAAAGCAGUUAUGGACAUUUAGUAAAUUUUACUAUUAAAUUGCUGAGAGAAAACAUAUGACUAAAAUGUAUAUAAUGUAGAUAAGAUUUACUUAUACAUAUAAAAACAUGUACAUAUAAUAUUUUUAAUUGUGUAUUAUAAUAAUUUUUAUUACAAAUAAAAUUUAUAAUAUAUUGAUUUUUUUAUUUUUUUAUCUUGAAACAAUUGAUAAUUAAAUUUGUAAUAUAGUGAAACAAAUUUAAUAAUAAUUCGACCAAUAAACUGAUAUUAAUAUAUUUAUAUAACCAAAUUAACGGGUGAAUUCUAUAAUCGAUUUCUUUUAUUAACAUCUCAUAACUAUGAGAAGUUUUAUAUUUUGAUAAAUGAUCAUACUCAAUUAUGUGCCUUAUUGGAUGAAAGACGGAGAAGGAAUGCCUUACCGGAUUCAAUUCAAUAUACACUUUUUGUUCCCAGGUCUAGCCUUUCGCGGGUACCUCAACAAAAAACUGAAGAGUAAUGGCAACAAGUGAUUGAGUUAAGUAGUUCCUCAUGUAAAAUUAUUGACUCUAGAGAUAUAGUAAUAUGGAGAAGACUAAACUAUUUCGUAUUGAUGAAUUAUAGUAACAAUUUAUUAAAAUAUUGAUUUUGAUUCUAAUUUUAAUAAGGAAGAACACCAAGAACGUUAUCCCUCUAAAUAUGUACUAUAUACAAAAAAUAAUUGUAAAAAAAGGGUAGAAAAAUAAAAGACAACUCAGAAAAUACUAUUUUUUUUAAUUAUAGAAUAUGACAUUGCAACCUAUAAUUACAUGUAAUUAUAUAAAGAUUAAAAAAUCAAUUAAGAAUUUCAAAUUAAAAUAGAUCAAUACAUGUAAUUACAAUCAAUUAAAAAUUGCAAGUAAAACUUUUGAAGUGGAAUACUAAAUUACCCGACUUAAUAAAUUAAACAAUUAAAAUUUAUUCAUCCUUUCAAAUUGUAAAAGUAUUAUUAGUCAAAAGUUUCAAUAAUAAACUAAACUCAAUUCAGCAAAAAGGUAUUUGAGUGCAAUUGUUUCUUUGUUAGGCGCUUUGCCUCUCUUUAAAGAACUAGAUGUUAAUUAUUCUUCUAUCAAAAAAUCCUUAAAAUAAUUAAAUUUUAUUUUCUAACUUGUUCUCUUAGUUUUUUUGAAACUAACAAAUAAAAUCUGAAAAUUCACAUAAAAAUUUUAUGAAAAUAUUGAUAAUUAUUACUAUAUGUUGUUCUGUAAGUACUUUUAAUACUAACAACGAUGUUAUAUUAUAUUGAUAGAUUUUUUUUUCAAUUAGAAGUUUUUAAAAUAAAUUAAAGCAAUAAUAAAAUUUUAGCUCCCUAAUUUUUCAAUCUAUUCAAUAAAUACGUAAUUUAAUCAUUUUAUAAAAUAAGUCACUAAUUGCAAUUGAAAAUAAUAUAAUUGAAUUAGGGACAUAUUUGUAAAUAAAAAAAACUAUUGUUAUAUAAAAUUGAUGAAAACAUAAGGAUAAUUGAGUUAAGGACAUAUUUGAAUAUAAAAUAUUGUUGUACUAAAUCGAUGAAAAUGUAAGGGUAAUUGAGUUAGGGACACAUUUAAAUAUAAAAUAAAAAAUCUAUUGUUAUACCAAAUUGAUAAAAACAUAAAAGUUAUUGAGUUAGGGACGUAUGUGAAAAUAAAAUAUAAACUCUAUUCUUUUACUAAAUUAAUGAAAAUGAAAAAAAGAGGUAUAAACGAUUUUUUCCCACAUGUAGGUCCGCCACUCGUGUUGUAUGAGAAUUGUAAUCCAAAAAUUUUCCCUACAAAACGAUUUUUAAUCGACAGCAAAUUUUCACUACAAAACGAUUUUAAACGAUUUUUGUUUUUUUUCGAUUAAUUUUGAAAUGUUGCAUACAUAACGAGCUGCCAUUGAAAUUAAUGUUAACAACCAAAGUAGAUGCAAAAGGAGAAACAAGCAUCAUGUGCAGUACCCACUGUGAACUACUCACAUUGGAAUAAGUUGUCGGCAGCUGGUCUGUUUGGCCAUUGAUAUUUUGACUAUUCAAUGUUGAUUUUGACCCCACUAAAUUAAGCCAUCAAAAAUUGCUGGGAAGGGAGUAAUAUCUAUUCAUAACUGGAAAUUACUCGCCGUACAAUGAUGAUUGGAGCUGCAUGUAUCAUUUAUUAUUAACAACUAACUUAUGAAAUGCUUUGAAUGUACCUCCUAGGUCGUAUUUACUAUACUGGUUAGGAGAAACUACAAUAUUAAAUUAUUUGAUAAAUACUUAUUAUAAUUUAAAAAAUAUAUUAAUUUUGUCCUCCACUUUAUGAUAAAAAAAUUAUAAUAUAUAUAAAUCAUUCAUUCUAUAAUCUUGAACUUUAUUAAAGUUCCAAAAACUAUUACUCUAUAUGAUAUACUCGGGUGAUGUUAUUACACUAUUAUACAGUACAAAAUAUAUUUGUUUUCUUAAAUUUUAAUAAAGUCUAGGUCUUGGAGAGAAGCGCUUUAUAUAUAUGUAUAUAUAAUGAUUCUCUAGUGACGACAUCCUCAUUUUAACAAAGUGAUGAUAUCACUAACAAACUAAAUAACACACAUUUCAAUACACCAAUUGAUAAAAAAAUCCAGUUUUUAAUGUGUUAAAAUAUAUGUCUUUUGUAUAUUAUUGAUAUUUUCAUUUUAACAAAGUGAAGGUCUCCUCACUAUAGAAGUGCUUUAUAAAUAUUUUCUGUAUUUUUGUAAAAAUUAUUAUUUAAAAGUCAUAUCUUACCAAAGACUAAUAGUUUUUAUUUUAUCACUAUACUGUACUUUUCAAGAUAGAACACCUCAAUACCAUGACCUUAAUUUUGAACUCUCUUGUACAAAGUUGUUGGCGGGUCUAUUUAGUUUAGUCUUUCAACUAUUUGUCGUUUGAACUAAGAUGAUCCGAAUAAAGAUAUAUAUCAAUAAUUUCCUAGUGAAACUUCGGAAAAAUAUAAAAAUCCUCUCAUAUAGUAGCAUUAUUUUAAUUCUCAGCUUGAUUAUGUUUUGAGUUAACUUAUAAAUUAUUUGAAAUAAAAAGAAUAUAAUUUAUUUUUUCCAACGGAAUUUUUUAAAUAAUUUUAUUAGUUUAAUGAGUAAUUAUACACUUACAAAGUUAUGAUAUAAAAUUAUAUCCCUAAAUCCCAAUAAUAUGACACCAAUGAACUACUGCUAUGUGUUUCUUAGUAAUUAACUUUUUAUACUAUUAUUAAUGAGAUAAUUAACUUCAACACCAAUAUAAAAAUUUUAUAUUAAUACAUCCUCUAGCUUUAGACGUUACAGACUCUGUAUGUAACGCAGCAAAUGAGGAGCAUCCACGCGUUGCAGGAGAGAGGAAAAGUUGUUGGAAUUUAGCUGAUACAAGACUAAUUUCCAUUGAGCUGUUACAUACAGAGUCUGUAAGGUAGUUUUAUUAUCAAAUAAUCAUAUGUCAUAAUCGAACCAAGCUACCAGAGCCUACCACUAAAAGAGUGAUUGAAGGGUUUUCCAAGUUUGAAAAUGUUAGUAGCAUUGGCAAAUGGCAACUUCCAGGAAUCUUCCUGCUACAAUCAAGUUGAAUCAACUAUUCAGUGAAAUACGCAAACGGCACAUAGGACCCCGCCACCCGUAAAGUCACAAUCAUUUGUUUAUUUGUCAAUCAAGUUGAAUCAACUUGAAUAAAGCCUAAAAUCUAAUUUUUUAUUUCGUUCACUUCAAAUAGACCCCCCCCCCCCAAAAAAAGAGAUGUUGAAUAAAGCAUAAAAUCUAAUUUGAUUUUUAAUCUGAUUUAGCUAAGAUGUCGAAUUUAAGACUAAGAGCAAUGUUAAGGAUCCCAAUAAUUGAGUCCCAAGUGAUAUGGUAGUCAUUUAUUCUAUGAUCGAAAUAUUAAUUUUACUAAUUAUGAAAUUUAUUAUCUAAUGAAAAAAUCACACAUAUCAAUUGGGUCUCAAGUUAGAUUUCUACUAUUGAAAUUCCUAACAUUUUUCCAAUAUUUAAAAAUUCAUCAAAAUAAUAUCUAUUAUCUAAAAAAAUAAAAUAAAAAUCUAAAACCAUAUAUUUACUUUUCAAUCUUUGGCUGAUUUUUUUUUAAAGUUUUGGUUUCUUUAGAAGUGCAAAGAGAAAUAGUAAUAAGAUUAAAAAAGCAAUGAAGUAAAACUUUAAAAUUUUUAUUUCUUUAUAUUUUCAUCGGUCAUUUUACCGGUACUGGUUUGAUUUUCUGACUAAGCUACUGUUUAGUUCUAAGUCUUGGCAAUUACCCGGACUGCUCUGUUUUGUGUAUCUUCGACACAAUAAGGCUUAGCAUUUAAAAGUCGGCAGCCACGCAACUUCUUGGAAUCUUCGCGCAAGUGUUGGAUAUCGACUGUUCGAUAAUGAUGGCAGCAUUGGACUGGAGUGUAAUUGACGCAGUGGAAUAAGGAUCACAUGUCUCAAACUUCUGGCGAAGAUACUGUCAGAUAUUUUAUUGAUCAAGUAAGGAUCACAAAUAAUUGACGCAGUGUAAUUUGCUUUUUUUGCUACUGAUGUAAGUCUUGCAAUUAUUUUUAAAUAAUGAUAUUAUAAUUAAAAAUCAAGAAAUAUUUAUAAUACUUAAAGACUGAUUCAGAUUAUUAAUUCUUUUAUAUGACUUAAUUAUUAGCUGACAAAUAAUUAAAAAGUCAUGGAACAAUACUUUUAUUCUAAUAUGACACAACUUGUACUUUCAUUCCUAUGCUAAAAUAUAUCUAACUUAUUAAUAGUCAAGAAAUAUAUCUAUUCAACAUAUAUUUGUUAGAAAGAUUAUCUACUAAUUAAUCAUUCAGACAAGAUUACGAGUCUCAACAUAAAGAGUAAUGAUAUAAUCAUAAAUUUUUGUAUAAAUUUAUUUUGUAUAAAUUAAUAUGUCAUAAUAAGAUUGGUUAAAUUAAAUAUCACUUGACUCAUAUAAUUUAUUUUUAUUAUUUUAUAUUUUCAUUCAACUAAUGAAUUAAUGUCAUGUUAAUUUAUACAAAAAUAUUUAUACAAAAAUUUAUAGUUAAUUUAUACUCCAAAUUAAGAUAAAAAUUAAUACAUUGAAAUUCAGAACCCUUUUUUAUUUUUUUUUUCCUUCUGCAGUUUAAAAAGGAGUCGCCCACGAUUAUUGAAAUAAUUUUAUCAGAUUCGCUUGAAAGUAGUUUUACGAGCAAGCGGUUUUUCCCUCUUGAUCCCCGUAUUCGUCAGCUCCUACUCUUUGCCUUCAAUUCUCAGUCAAGAAAACCUCUCCUGAUUUUCGUCUUUUGAUCUCAUACACACUUUGCUUCUGUUCAUCGUGGUCGCUGCUCGUGCUAGCCGUUUUCUUAUUUAGCUUUGUUCCCUUUUGCCAUCAGCUCUUUGCUUUUUCAUUGGAUCAAGCAACCCUUUUCUUGAUUCAAUUUUCUGAUCUCAAAAACACUUUGAUUCUCUUCUGUUACACUGAUUUCCCCCUUGUUUUGUACAAAUAUAAUUUCUUUUUCCAAUUUUGCCUUGUUUUGCUUCUACUUGAUUAUCAAUUGCGCGGUCGUUGACCCUGUUCUAUUUCUAGUUCGUUCCCUUCCCCCCCCCCCCAACCCAAAAAAAAUGGACAUUUUGAAAAGCAUUGUAAACUGCUUGUCUCCUCACGCACAACGCGAAUUUAGUUAUUGGCAUAACUCCGCUGCCAACUUUGAGAAUCUCAAGGCAGAACUCGAUGGGCUCAAGGAUGAAAGAGAAAGCAUUCAGCGCAGAGUUUCUGAGGCUGAAAGAAAAAGUGAAAAGAUUGAAGAGAAGGUUGAGAAAUGGCUGGUUAAUGCGAACAAGAGCAUUGAGCAGGCAGCCAAAUUCAUUCAAGACGAAGAGAAAGCAAAUGAACGAUGUCUCAUGGGGCUGUUUCCUAAUUGGAUUACUCGCUAUCAGCAUGGAAAGAAAGCAGAAACAGAGAAGGAGGCCCUUUUUAAACUCCGAGAAGAAGCUGGGAGAUUUGAUAGAAUUUCCUACCCUACCAUUCCGGAGGAGAUUUGGCUCAAGUCUCACAAAGGCUACGAGGCCUUCGAAUCAAGACUUCCUACUUUGGAGGAUAUAAAAAACGCAUUAAUCAAUGUUAAUGUCAGCAUCAUUGGGGUGUACGGCAUGGGCGGCAUUGGAAAGACGACACUGGUGAAGGAGUUUGCAAGGCGAGCCAUUGAAGACAAGCUUUACGAUAUGGUGGCUUUUUCGGAGGUUACCCAAAGUCCAGACAUAAAAAAGAUCCAAGAGGAAAUUGCGGAAACGUUAGGCCUACAGUUGUCCGAGGAAGCUGAGUCUAGAAGAGCUGGUAGACUAUAUGAAAGAUUGAAGAAUGAGAAGAAGAUCCUUGUGAUUCUGGAUAACAUCUGGAAACCUCUUGAUUUGGGGACUAUUGGAAUUCCUUUUGGAGUUGAGCACAGAGGAUGCAAAUUAUUAUUCACAACAAGAGAUCUUGAUGUGCUGUUAAGGAUGGGAUCUGAAAAAAACUUGUCGAUUGGCAUUUUAAAUGAACAAGAAGCCUGGAGAUUGUUCAAGAUAAUGGCUGGUGAUUAUGUUGAAAAUCGUGAGUUAAAAUCUGCAGCAACAAGUGUAGCCAAGGCAUGCGGAGGUUUGCCUAUUGCCCUAACCACAGUAGCAAAGGCACUGAGAAAAAAAGAGCUGCCUGUGUGGAAGAAUGCCUUGCAAGAGCUCCAAACGCCUUCAGAGGCGAGCGUCGACGAAGGAGUACCAGCAGAGGCAUACUCAACAAUUGAGCUGAGUUACAAGUACUUAAGAGGUGAGCAACUCAAGAAAACUUUUUUACUGUGUAGUCUUAUUACGCCAGCACCAAUUAUGGACUUGUUCAAAUAUAGCAUGGGCUGGGGUGUAUUUAAAAGUGUCCACAAGCUAGAAGAUGCACAUAACAAAUUAGAUGCAUGGGUCCAUCAACUAAGAGACUCUUGUUUGCUGCUUGAGGAUGGUGGCAGUAAAUACUUUUCUAUGCACGACGUUGUUCGCGAUGUUGCCAUUUCAAUUGCAUGUCGUGACAAAAUUGGAUUUGUGGUGAGAAAUGGCCAAAUGCAGAUGAAUUAAAAAAAUAUCUUGCAAUUUCUUUAAAAGAUAGUAUUAUUAAUGACAUUCCUGAAGGGUCCGAAUCUCUACAACUUGAACUUCUACUCAUGUCUCCCAAGAACUCUUUUGCUGUGCCUAAUAUUCCUGAGAACUUCUUCAAAAGGACGAAAAAGCUUCGGGUUUUGGAUUUGACUAGAAUGCGGUUAUUGUCAUUGCCAUCUUCAAUUGGUCUUCUAGUAAAUCUUCAGACACUUUGUCUUAAUCAAACCAUUUUGGGAGGCAUAGACAUAGCCAUUAUUGGAAAGUUGGAAAAUCUAGAAAUCCUCAGCUUCGUGCGGUCUGAUAUGGUGCAAUUGCCCAAAGCACUUGGUCAACUGACUAAGCUAAGGCAGUUAGAUUUAACUGACUGUUUCCGUCUAAAAGUUAUUGCUCCAAAUGUCAUAUCAAGCUUAAUCCGAUUAGAAGAAUUGUAUAUGGGUAAUUGCUCCAUUGAAUGGGAGGUUGAAAGAGCGAACAGCAAAAGAAGUAAUGCUAGCCUUGAUGAAUUGAUGCAUUUACCUCGGCUAACCACUCUAGAAAUUGAUGUUAAAAAUGAGAGUAUGUUACCAGAAGGCUUUUUGGCCAGAAAGCUCGAAAGGUUCAAAAUACAUAUUGGAAAUGGGUUAUUCACACAUCCCAUGCUUUUUAGACAACAGUGGUUUAAAAGUCGGCAGCACUUUUGGAUCAACAGUAAACGCAAGAGUUUAAGAGCAUUGAAGCUCAAGCUUGAUUUUAUGGACAUUUGCUCCAUGAAAUUGCAGGGCAUCAAUAACGUUGAAUACUUAUGGUUGGACAAGCUGCAAGGCAUCGAGAAUGUUCUUUUCAAUUUGGACACGGAGGGCUUUUCACAAUUGAAGCUUCUCUGGGUUCAAAAUAAUCCUGACUUCUUUUGUAUCGUCGAUUCAAGGGAGAUGGUCGCUUGUGAUGCCUUUCCUCUUUUGGAGUCACUUAUCCUUCACAACUUGAUCAACAUGGAGAGGAUAUGUAUUGAUCGGCUCAAAGUAGAGUCUUUCAACGAACUCAAAAACAUAGAAGCAUAUAAUUGUGAUAAAUUGAGUAAUAUCUUUUGGCUCUCUACUACAAAAUGCCUUCCAAGACUUGAGAGAAUUGCAGUUAUUAAUUGCAGCAAGAUGAAAGAGAUUUUUGCAAUUGGGGAAGAAGUUGAUAAUGCAAUUGAGAAGAUAGAGUUUGCUCAAUUAAGAUCUUUGAGUCUGGGGAAUCUUCCAGAGGUUACAAGUUUUUGCCGCGAGGUGGAGACUCCUUCAGCAUCACCAAACAGACAAGUGUCGCAAGAGGAAUCGACGACUAUGUAUAGCUCCAGCGAAAUCACUUUGGAUAUUUCAACUCUGCUUUUCAACGAGAAGGUGCGUAGGCUAACAGAUUUUAUUCUAUCAUGCGUUCUGUUUUGAUGUCAUACGUGGAAAAUAAUUAAAUCAUUUAAAGAAUUGAAAGAAAAUGGAAAAAAGGAUAAAAAGAAUCUCACGCGCUCACUAAUUGAGCUCUUAACAAGUAGUAUGAAUUAGAAUGCAUACUCAGCUGUCAGUUGGAAAUUGAUUCUGACUUGCAUUAAUUUGUAAUCAAAGAAGAAAAUUUCAACAAGUGCUUCCCAUAUGGAUAUUGGAUCUAACGAGAAAUUCUUAUUUUUUUAGGUAGUGUUGCCUAACUUGGAGGCUUUGGAGAUAUCUACAAUUAAUGUCGACAAGAUUUGGCACUACAAUCAUCUUCCGGUCAUGUUUCCUCGCUUUCAAAAUUUAACACGAUUGAUUGUAUACUGCUGUAUCAAAUUAAAAUACAUAUUUUCAGCGUCUAUGAUCGGAAGCCUGAAGCAGCUCCAACACCUAGAAGUAUGCUUAUGUGAGGAUUUACAGGAGAUCAUUUCUGAAAACAGAGCAGAUCAAGUGAUCCCUUAUUUUGUCUUUCCACAGCUCACCACUCUGAGACUCCAAGAUCUACCAAAACUUAGAUGUUUGUACCCUGGAAUGAAUACUUUGGAAUGGCCCGUGCUAGAAAUUCUUUUUGUGUAUGGUUGUGACAAAUUAAAGAUAUUCGCUGCAGAUUUAUCGCAGAAUAAUGAGAAUGAUCAACUUGGUAUUCCUGCACAACAGCCCCUAUUGCCGUUGGAAAAGGUAUGAAGUCAUUUUCUAGAUUUUUUAUCAAUAGCUUAUUUUUAACUUUGAAAAAUAUGACAAAGUAUCGAUAAAUUAAUACUCAAUAAAUUAAAAACUUUUAUUAUACAAUAAUCUUUGCUAGUCUAGACUAAGGGAUCAAUGUCGUAGAUUAAUAAUUAUAUGAACUGUUUUAGGUAUAGCAUUUAUAAAAGAAUCCUUAGUCUUUCCAUAUAGAAGAACUUACAAAAUAAAUUAGUAAUUUAUUAUUGUGCAAUAAAAUAAUUUCGAGCCAGUAUAAAUCAACCUUUUUUCCCUAAUUUCUUUUUUACCUCUAAAAUUAACAUAUAAAAUAAAUUUUAUCAAUAAUUCAAUUUUUUUUAAAAAUAUAAUAUAAAACAAAUACUAUAAAGUCACUGCAUGUGACCGUAGAUCAUCAAUUGACCUCAUUAGUUAUUAUGAUUGAUGAUGAUCAGAUCGUACCCAACUUGAAGAAACUAUCACUAAGUGGAAAAGAUGUGAAGAUGAUUUUGCAGGCCGAUUUUCCACAACACCUUUUUGGCAGUCUUAAACAACUAGAGAUUGUUGGAGAUGACUCAGCUUGUUUUCCAAUCUGGAACGUACUGGAGAGAUUUCACAAUCUUGAAAUGCUCAUACUGCGUUAUUUUUCAUUCAACGAAGAGGAAUUUUCGAAGGAAGGAUGCUUAGAGAAACAUGUGGGGAAGUUGGCAAUGAUAAAAGAAUUACAGCUGCACGGGCACGAUCAUCUUGAGCAGCUGUGCAAACAAGACUCCAAACUUGGCCCCAUUUUUCAGUAUCUUGAAAUUCUAGGAGUAUAUUAUUGUCAAAGUGUGUUAAUUCUAUUGCCAUCAUCAUCGGUAUCUUUUCGGAACCUAACAGAACUUGUAGCUUUCGGUUGCAAGGAAUUGAUACACUUGGUAACAUCCUCCACAGCAAAAACUCUAGUGCAACUCGUCACAGUGAGUAUACAUGGAUGCAGAGCAAUGACAGAGGUGGUAAUAAAUGACAAAGAUGGAGUUGAAAAAGAAGAGAUUGUUUGCUGCAAAUUGAAGAUGUUGGGACUGUUUGAUUUAGAUAGCCUCACAAGUUUCUGCUCUGCCAAUUACACCUUCAAAUUCCCAUCUUUACAAGAUUUGAAUGUGAUUGGUUGUCCCAAGAUGAAGAUUUUCACUACAGGAGAAUCAAUCACGCCUCCAAGAGUAAAUGUCUGGUAUGGAGAGACAGGGGAUCGAUUGCUUUGGACCAAUAAUGAU